AAAAACAAACUACUCAAUGCUCAUUAUCAGAGAUUUAAACAAAAAAUAUAUAUAAUUCAGAUUCAAAUAUUUAUCUUUAUUUAGAAUUUAGACUCAUUCAAGUUUUUUUAGAUCCAUUGAAGUUACAUUCAAAUCUGUUGAUAAUGAUGAUAGUCUUGAAAGUUGGGGUAAUCCAUUAAUGUCAUAAUGGGCUCGUCAAGAACAACCGUGCUGUUAAGAAAUAAUAACACUACUGAUCAUGUCAUUAGUAACGUGACUAAUAAUGAUAUCCUCACUUUAAUAAAAUGAAAAUAUUAUCACUAAAAACUAUUAUACAUACACACACAUACAAAUUGUCAUUUUGUUCCUAAUAGAAAACUAUAUCCCAAUUGUGUAACUUUACCAUUGUUAUUUAUAACAAUUCUUUGGCACAUUGCAAAUGAUAUGCAAACUUUGUCUACUUAUAAUUCUCUUGCAUGCCAAAUUGUAAUAUAAAUUUUUUUUCUUUUUUUAACGCUAUAAUGUCGAAUCACAACAAAUUCAGUUUGGAUUUUCCCUCUACUGUCCAGAAGAAUAGAUUUAAAACAUACAUAUUACAGCUGCUUCACAAUUAACGAUCGAUGGAUAUAAUGUUGGAUUGUUCUGGUAACUAGCAACAACACACACACACACCCCGAAAACUUAAAACCUAUCAAGAACCUGAUAAAUACACAUGACAUGAUUGCAUAUAUAUAUAUAAAAUGUUGAGAAUUGUGAUGAACUGUGAAGGCAAAGCAAGCUGGUGCUCGUCAUGUUAUAUGGGGGAAUUUAGCAGAGAAUUUGACUUUAUGCAAUGAGCCGCAUUCGCUUUUCUCUAUUUCCAAAUUUAAAUCGACACGGUUGUUUUAUUGUAAAACUCGAAUGUUUUUUUGGUACGACAUCCCCCGUCUUUUUCCAAUCAAUAAUCAAAUAUAUAUUUAAACAAAAUCUAUCAGCUGCUUCUACAUAAAUGUAUUUUAACCUAAUGCGAAUUUUCAAUCCCAUGCUUUUUACAUUACAUGUGACCUGCAUUUUAUAUUAUAUAGUAUUUUCAGUCACUCUUUCACGUGGCCAUGCUUGUCUCUCCCUCUCCUUCACGUCCAAUUUGUAUCUUAUUUAGCUAGCUAGCUAGCUAGCCAGCUACAUCCAUCAAUUAUUUUGAGUACUCAUGGAGUAAAUAGCUGCUAACUGUCAACUACCAAAUGACAAAUCCACAGCUUCGUUGAUUUAAACGUCUAAUUAUCUGCAAAAAAAAAAAAAAUCUUGAAUUUACAAAACUACAUGGAUGGAAGGCAAACAGCGUGUUGCCAAUACAUUUCAUUCAUUCAUAACAUCUAUUCUUUACUUACCGUAAGGUUAAAUUUCACCCCACCUUCCUUAAUAUUGACAUUCCUCGAUACACUCUCAAUAUUAUUUGCAAUUGGGUUUGUUGGGGGCUGGUUCUAGCAUCUAAUCUAAAAGACUAGUUUAUUAGAUAAAGGAGUUCAAUUAACUCUUGAAUGAAACCACAACUUAACAAUCUCUCUAUUGAAUGAAACCACUAACGACACCCCCCCUCCCCCCCCGGAUUUGUUCUACCAUCGCAUUUCGGUUAUUAGUAUCUAGUUUUGAUACCAAUUGUGAGUGAGCUGGCUUAUCCUACUUAUAAUCCUAAUUAACUUUGUUUAACUAACUAAUGUAGAACAUAACUCAAUAAGGUUAAUCGCCGAUCAAGAAUUACUUCAGAUCAUAUUAAAUUAAUUUUAACCAUUAAUUCAGUACUCAACAUAGCCUCGCCUUAGCAUCCAAUCGAGGAUUCAUUCAAAAUUGAAAAUUCUAAACUCUCGGUGGCUAAGAUUGUAAAUAUGACAAUAUAUAUAUGUUUAGACUUUAGUUAUAUUCUAAUGGGUGCCAAUUUCUCUUUCAAUCACGUGAGCGGAGUUGGAAUUUGAAAGUACAAAUCUCAUAUUUCCAUUCAAAAGUAAAUCUUUGGUUAAUAAUUUAUUUUAAAAGACAUGAAUAGGGUGGGGGGUGAUAUUUAUUAUUAACAAAACCCCGAUAGAUAGAAAAACGACAGGACAUCAUCUCCAAGGUCCAAGCAGCGAAGAAAUAGAAGAGAAGAGCCAAAAAGAAAAAGAGAGCAAAAAGCUAAAGAAGAGAAAGAUCAAAUCUUUGAACAGGAGAAGAAGAAGCAGAACAAGAGCCAUAUGAUAAAAGGGUUUUAACCAAAUGGACGUAAGUUAAAAGAAUGUAGGGACCGCACCAGACCCGCAUUAGCAGUGGAUAUGGGGCCCGUUCAGAAAUCAAAGAGCUUGAAAAGGACUGAUGCGGUUCAGAUCUUUCGAAAGCUCUGAAAACCCACUUCAAUAUUUGUGCCCCCCUCACGUGUUGCAUGUAGUUUUUGCUAAAUUUUCUUUUCUUUUCUUUUUUUUUUCCCCCUCGAGGGGCUGCCUGAACUGAACUCAUCACACCAUUCACCCCCCAAAAAAAGGACGAUUCCCUAAAAGACGUUUCGCUUUUACACGCCAUAUUGAAUAUUUAAUAAUGGGGAUAUGCGAGCUGAAAACAACACUGUGGGGGGACAGUAAAGUAUAUAUUUUAUCCUCGUUAAGUGUGAAUAUUAUUUUUGGUUCAUCAGCCGCUUGUCUUUAUCUCGUUCAUGUUGUGAGUUUCGCUUAAAAGUCUUAAAAGGUUAAAGGCUGGCCAGUGGCUAGGCUCUCGAGUCAAACGAGCCACGAGAAUUAUUAAUUAAAAAAGGGUGCCAUAGAUUAUUAGAGGGGAGUAGAAAAAGCUAUGCUCGAAUUGCCAUAUAUUAAAUUAAAAAGAAAAAAAAAAAAGGGGAGAGAAGUGCAAGUAGUAAAAAGUGGGGAUGGGGGAUGUUGCAGCAUCAUGCAAAAUGUCAAACGCUACGUUGCAAUUUUUGGGGAACUGAGGGGUUGACAGUUCCCUCUCGAGUCUCGACCGCAGCCCUGUGCCAGCCCUCCUCUUUCUGUCUUUUACUUGCUUAGCUUCGACCUGUCUAUCUUUUUCUCUUUUUAAUUACCCUUCCAUUCCACGAAUUGAUUUUUUAUUUAUUUAUUUUUUUAUUUAACUCACCCAUUUGGCAUGUUGAUCGCUUGUCAUCGGCAGUACUGUCUAAAAUAAGAAAAAUGAUGAGAGAGGACGAUUUCUUUCUCUCUCUUUUUUUUUUUUCUUUUUUAUAAAAGUAGUCUUAAUUUUCAUUUUUCCUUUUACUUAUCCUUUUCGGUAAUGCAUUAAGUCUGCAUUAAUUGAUUUACCUACCGCGUUGCCGAUUGAGGUUAUGGUAGUUUUGAGCCAUAAUUAAUCAGUUCGUUGCUGUUGAAUUAUAUAUACAUAUAUAUAUAUAUAUAUUCUCCAGCCAUUAACGAAGCAAGGGAACACAUCUCGGGCAGUUAUAAGUAAUUAAUAAUUCUGAUAGCGACACUGCGAGUCAAACAUAUAUUACUGCACUUAAUUUACUACGCCUUGUCAGUUGUUAUUUCCUAGGUAAUUAAUUAAAAAAAAAAAAAGGUUCAGUCUCCACAAAUUUCUCAUUUAUAAUCAUUAGUUGUUAUAUAAUUUUUUCUAACAAAAAAUAAAAUAUAUAUAAGUUCAUAUGCCAUUAUGAUUUGUUUACCCCUGAUUAACUGCUUCAAUAGAAAAAUUAUUGCCAAUGUCGAGUCCCCCCGUUUUUUUUAUAUUAAAUUUCACGAUGCACGACAACUUCAAAUUGUAUAUAUAAAUAUAAAUUAAUAGGUUUAAUUAAUAUUCUAGAUGUAAUCAUUUUUAUAUCAUGGCGGAGGACUCAACAAGUAGAUGUAUCCGUAUUUUGAUGUUUCGACACUAUUAAUAAACGAAUCGUAUUCAUAUUUACUUAAAUUUAACGCGACAAAACACUUAGUAAAAUGCGAUACAAUUACAUGAAUGAAUUGAUAACCCUAGUUACUUUACAUUGCCAAACUGGGUAUAGAAGUAGACUAUAUGAUUUCAAUAUAAUAAUAAUAAUACUCCACAGUCUGUAACAAGUUUUUUUUUGGAGAGAGGGGUACUGUGUUUGCAGUUUCCCAUUUCUAAAAAUAUCAUCACCAUCAUUAUUUUUUCCGGUUCUGUUUUUAGGCAAUGAUGGAUAAAUUACAUCAUAUACCCGUCAUUCUAGGUUGUAGCCAUUAUACGUACGAGACAUCUUACUGAUAAUUUCAUUUCAUUCGAAGCUAUUCUGUCCCGCAUUUGUUUUGUUUUUUUGUUUUUUUUUUAAUAAUUAAAAAUAUACAUAAAGUGUUAAGCUAUUUUAACAUAAAAAUUUUACUUAAAAUUUAAAUAUAAAUAUUAAGUAAUUUAAUGACAAGUAUUAAAAGUUGAAAUAGUUUUUAAUGAUGAUUAUUCAUUUAUUAUUGGAUUACUUGAAAUUAAUGGUUCAAAAUUUAUAUCAAAUUUUAAGUUAAGAAUUUAAGUAAAAUUACCCUAUCUAUACUUAGGGAAAAUUCUUCAUUAUGGCAUCAAAUAUCGUGAUAGACAUAAAUAUUAUAAAUUACAUAUAGAAUUAGUAAAUAUAAAAUAAAAUCAGUAAAUUCAUACAAGAUUAUUAAUUAUUUAAUAAAUUAACUUUGUUUCUAUAGAAUUUUAGUGAAGAAUAUUUUAUUCAUUUACAAAAAAAUAUUUUCUUUAAUUAAAUAAAAAAAUUACUCAUUAAUUAAACAAAAAAUUAAAUUGAAAAAAAGUAGAAUACGUUUUAUUGAAUUAGUUACCAUAAAUUCUAUAUUUAUUUUAGGACAUUUGUAUACUUUUUUUCUCCAUUUCUAUAAUGAUAUCUAUUUAUUACACAUGUUAAUUAAGCGCAAUUAUUUAUCUUGAUGUGGAUCAAGUAAAAACAAAAUAAAAAAAAAUAUUUUUAUAUUACUAGACACAUAUAUAAUAUAUCAAUAAAAUUAGAUUUAAUUUUGAGUAUUAUGCAUACUUUAUGUAGUUUCGAACUUUUUACUUGUAUUUGAAAACCAUUUAGGGUUGUUGAGGAAGUGUAGAAAGACGCAAAAAAAUCUCUUACAACAACUAUGAAAGAUAUUAAAAAUAAUAUUUUCUUCAAAAUCUGAUUUUGAGCAUAAAUUUCAUCCUUAAUAAAACAUCACAUGUAUUACAAAAAUACAAAACUAACAUUAUUCAAUUUAAAUAAAAAAAAUCAAUAAAUGUAUAAGGUAAUAAACACUAUAAUGAGUUUUUAUUUUACAAUUGUGAGCUUCCUUUUUCUUGCAGUAACUAUUAUAUUAAUUAAUUUAUUUUACCUUUUAUUCAUAAGUAUUAGGCAUAAUCUACAAACUUUUAUGUUCUAUUUUGCAUUUAAUGUUGAUUUACUUGUUUUAUGUUAUAUUUAUAAGUUUUCAUUUUAUUUACCAGUAAUACAUCAAUUUAUUAGUUUCAUAGUAAUUUAGUUAUUUUACCUUCCUUUUUACAAGUCUUGUGUUUCAUUUCCAAAAUUUAUAUUUUAUUUUACAAUUAGUAUUGAUUUACUUAGUUUUAUGUUAUAUUUGCAAUUUUUUGUUUUAUUUACCAAUAAUACAAUAAUUUGCUAGUUUAUAUUGAUUUACUUGUUUUACCUUUCAUUUACAAGUCUUAUGUUCUAUUUUCAAAAUUUAUGUUUUGUUUAGGGCUUAAUGUUGAUUUACUAGUUUUAUGUUAUAUUUAUAAAUUUUUAUUUUAUUUACCAGUAAUACAUGAAUUUAGCAGUUUUAUAGUAAUUUACUUGUUUUACCUCCUAUUUACAAGUCUUUUGUUCCGUUUUCAAAAUUUAUAUUUUAUUUUACAGUUAAUGUUAAUUUACUAGUUUUAAGUUAUAUUUGCAAGUUUUGGUUUUGUUUACUAAUAAUACAUCGAUUUACUAGCUUUAUAUUAAUUUACUUGUUUUAUUUUCCAUUUACAAAUCUUUUGUCUAAUUUCUAAAAAUUAUGUUUUAUUUUACACUUAAUGUUGAUUUACGAGUUUUAUUUUAUAGUUGCAAGUUUUUGUUUUAUUUACUAAUAAUACAUCAAUUUACUAGUUUUAUAUUAAUUUACUCGUUUUACUUUCCAUUUACAAGUUUAUGUUUAAUUUCUAAAAUUUAUGUUUUAUUUUAUAGUUAAUAUUGAUUUACAAAUUUUAUGUUCAAUUUAUAAGAUUUAUGUUUCAUUUACAUAAUUUAUGUUUAAUUACGGCAUUAAUGCUGUAACUUUAAUCAUGAAAUCAUAAAACAAAAACUUAGAAUCACUAAAUUCAAAAUAGGCUAAAUUAUCUCUAAAUUUUAAAAACAAAAUGAACACUCUCUCGUAGAGAAGGAUUGAACAAAAUCUUUUGCACAAAGAAUAAUGUGCUAUUCAACUAUUGACUGAUUUUAAGAUCUCAUCCAAUUCUACAUUUAAGACUUGUGAAAAUUUAAUUACUUUUUCAAAAAUCUUGAUCACGACAAGAAUAACCUCUCAUCGUGUGAGCAGUUUUUACCAAAAUUUUUAAUAACUUCUCAUGUGAGCGAUUUUAAACUUCGAAUUAUGAAACUAUAAUUUUUUAACACAAGAAAUUUUACAUAUUUCAACUCGAUGCCAUUGACAAUUAAAAAAAUUAAAACAUAAAGAAAAAUAUAUAAUAUUAUUAUUUCUUCGCUGAAUAAUAUUUUAACAUUUGCAAUAAAUAAAGUGGAAAAGAAAAAGAAGAAGAAGAAGAAGCUUUAAUUAAAAGAAAGUACACUAUUAAGAAAAAAAAUGAAAGUACAAAUGUACAAUGCGUUGAUACACUGGUUAAUAAAAUAAUUGUUAAAAGGAAAAAAAAAUGAAAAAGAAAUAGGAAAAAUGAAAAGGGUGGGGUUUGAGUGGUGGCUGCCUGCCUUGGCAAACACAAGAGACGAGGAUCAUAGGCAAUGGUCGUUUCCCCAGUCAUCAUAGCGAAGAAGUCAAAUAGGCAACGACGAAACUUCUUCACAAUAACUAUUAACUACAGGGCUUGGCAUGCACUCUCUCUCCUCCAAAGACACACUCAUCAGCCAGCCUAUCUAUCAUGUCACUCCUCCACCUGCUCCCCUCUCCUCUUUCUCUUUCUUUAUUUCAAUGCCCUCUGUUUAAUCAUCAAUCCCCAUUUUGCAAUUUGCAUGCUGUCAUUUCAUUUCCAAAAACCCCCCAAACCGGCUACAUCCACACACACAAAGACGCUUAGCUAAAAUCCACCCACUCCCCCCCCNNNNNNNNNNNNNNNNNNNNNNNNNNNNNNNNNNNNNNNNNNNNNNNNNNNNNNNNNNNNNNNNNNNNNNNNNNNNNNNNNNNNNNNNNNNNNNNNNNNNNNNNNNNNNNNNNNNNNNNNNNNNNNNNNNNNNNNNNNNNNNNNNNNNNNNNNNNNNNNNNNNNNNNNNNNNNNNNNNNNNNNNNNNNNNNNNNNNNNNNNNNNNNNNNNNNNNNNNNNNNNNNNNNNNNNNNNNNNNNNNNNNNNNNNNNNNNNNNNNNNNNNNNNNNNNNNNNNNNNNNNNNNNNNNNNNNNNNNNNNNNNNNNNNNNNNNNACAACCAUUCGCCAUUCACCGCAACAUUUCUUUCUUGGUUAUGAAACUCACAAGCAUCCAAAACGCAAAGUUUCGGCCAAUUUUUAAUUAUAUAUGUUGGUUUAUAUAAUAAAUAAGCGCAAAAGCAAAAAGGGGGGUUUGGUUUGCAUAGAAUACGGUGAACGGGUCGAAGAAGGACUAAGAAUCCCAAAGCCCCCGCUGUCCCAAUCCUUGCACCGUUUUCUGUUUGGAAGCCCCUAUCUCUAUCCCUGGUCUCUCUUUCCACCUAUGAAACCGGAUAAGUACCUGCACGAUCUCUCCUAUUUCCUCUUAAUUCCUCUUCCCGGACUCCACUCUCUUUAUGAUCAUGGCUGCUGCUUGUGGUUUGCGAGUUAAUAAUAAUAAUAACAACAACAACAACAAUGGCUGUAAUAACAACAACAGCAACAGUAUUAUUAGUGGCGGUGGUGGUGAUGAUCAUCAGAGUCCAACAAUAAUGACAAGCGCCUCCAAUAGCACCAGCGGCAGCAAUAACGAGGGUAAGAUGGUGAGAAAGAGGACGGCUUCGGAGAUGGAGGUGCAGCAGCAGCAGCUGUAUAGUGGGAGUAGUGAUUAUUAUCGUAGCAGGUUGCCCAGAAGAAAUAACCCAAUCAAUCAAGCCCCCACCGCCACCCCAUCAGCAAUCCCCAACUACUCCACUAUGUCGUCUUUCAAUGAUAAUGUCAAUAUGAGUACGCUAACGCUGCCACCUUCUUCCCUCAUCAACAACGUGACGUCAGGUGCUUCUGGAUUUUUGUCUACUGCUACAUCAGCAGCAACGAGAACCACUACAAACUUUAGUUGCAUUGACAAUCUUUCCCCUCAUAAUAAUCACCAACAGCCGCAGCCUCCUCCUCCUGCUGUUUGUGGCUUCUCGGGUCUGCCUUUGUUCCCACCGGCUGAUCAUCACCAGAGAAAUCGAAACGCGGCGUCCAUCGGCUUGAUUCCGGCCGCCCCCAGUUGUACUAGUGCUAAUAAUCUUGCUUCUUCUAUGGAGGAUAGCUCGGCCACGGCUUGGAUCGACGGCAUCAUAAAGGACCUUAUCCAUAAUUCAGCCAACGUGUCGAUUCCUCAACUCAUCCACAACGUCAGGGAGAUCAUCUUCCCUUGUAACCCUAAUCUUGCUGCCCUCCUCGAGUACCGCCUCCGCUCUCUUAAUUCUGAGCCACUAUUGGAGAGAUCAAGGAACAAAGACGCGGCGUUGCCUUUGCAUAUGCUGCAAAGGGCAAACUACUAUAUCAAUAAUAACAAUACUCCGCAGCAGCAGCAGCAGCAGCAGCAAGGCUCUUCUGGGCUUACUCUCAAUCUUGACAACGUCUCUAAUUACUCGCUACAAGAUUCAUCGUUCUUGAACUGGCCGGGAUUAACACCACUGCCGCCCCAUAUUCACGAGCAUCAUCCAUCUGCUGUCACAGCAUCUCUUGCAUUAACUCAAGUGCAACCCCAACCCCAACCCCAGCCCCAGCCCCAGCCUCAGCCUCAGCCUCAGGAACUACAUCAGCAGCAACAAGAAGAUCAAAACGAAAACUCAUCGCCUGUGGAGACAAUGACAGCGGCAACAACAGCUCCUACCCCACCAUCUCUGGCGGUUGUUAACGCUAGCAUAAGAGAGAAGAAAGAAGAGAUAAGGCAGCAGAAGCGAGACGAAGAGGGCUUGCACUUACUGACGUUGCUCUUGCAAUGCGCGGAGGCAGUCUCGGCCGAUAACUUGGAGGAAGCGAACAAGAUGCUGCUCGAAAUUUCUCAACUCUCGACUCCAUACGGAACUUCAGCUCAGCGUGUGGCUGCUUACUUCUCGGAAGCAAUGUCAGCGAGGCUGGUGAGCUCCUGCCUCGGAAUAUACGCGGCGCUGCCUUCUCUGCCCCAGACUCACACCCAGAAGAUGGUAUCAGCCUUCCAGGUUUUUAAUGGCAUUAGUCCCUUUGUAAAGUUCUCUCAUUUCACGGCCAAUCAGGCCAUUCAGGAAGCAUUUGAAAGAGAGGACAGGGUGCACAUCAUUGAUCUAGACAUCAUGCAAGGCCUUCAAUGGCCUGGACUCUUUCACAUCCUAGCUUCUAGACCCGGUGGCCCUCCGUACGUGCGGCUUACGGGACUGGGUACCUCCAUGGAGGCUCUAGAGGCCACGGGCAAGCGGCUGUCUGAUUUUGCCGAGAAGCUUGGACUUCCCUUCGAGUUCUGUCCGGUUGCUGAAAAAGUUGGGAAUUUAGAUCCGGAGAGGCUCAAUAUCAGCAAGAGGGAAGCCGUUGCCGUUCAUUGGUUGCAGCAUUCUCUCUACGACGUCACUGGUUCUGAUACGAAUACUCUUUGUCUUUUGCAAAGGUAAUUUUAUUUUUCUAAGCGCUGCACCUAUGUGUCUAUCAUUUCACAUACUAUAUAGAUUGACGUGGUACUGCGAUUCUAUCAUAAUGCUUUACUAUAUUCAAAAUUAGAGAACUAGUAUCCUCUUCUGAUUAGAGCUAUUGAGAUUUUAAUGAUAUUGUGGCGCGAUACUUGACAAACACCAAUGCUGGAGGUGCAAGUAGGAAUGUUUGCCUCCAUGGUGAAGGGUUUCUUGUGUGGUGAUCCUGUGCGUAAUUAAUUGCUAAUACACAUGCAUUACAAUUGACAAAUUGACAUAUUUGUUGAUCAGACUGGCACCGAAAGUAGUGACGGUAGUGGAACAGGACCUGAGUCCGGCAGGAUCAUUUCUGGGGAGGUUUGUGGAGGCGAUACACUACUACUCAGCACUAUUCGACUCGUUGGGAGCAAGCUACGGGGAGGAGAGCGAAGAGAGGCAUGUGGUGGAGCAGCAGUUGCUGUCGAGGGAGAUACGAAACGUGCUAGCAGUGGGAGGACCUUCUAGGAGUGGAGACGUGAAGUUUCAUAACUGGAGGGAAAAGCUGCAGCGGUCGGGGUUCAAGGGUAUAUCUCUAGCCGGGAAUGCAGCCACGCAGGCCACCUUGCUGCUUGGGAUGUUCCCUUGUGAUGGUUACACACUGGUGGAGGACAAUGGCACUUUGAAGCUCGGUUGGAAGGAUCUUUGCUUGCUCACUGCUUCUGCUUGGAGGCCCUUAAUUCAUCACCCUUGCAAUAAUAUCAAUGCUAUUUCUACUCGCUACUCCCACUAGUAGUUGCAAACCGUAUGGUUGUCGGGUGGUUUACUUGUUAGGACUUUUUAUCGCAAAAUGACUUCCGAGUGUAUCCAUAGUGUCUACGAUUCACCUCCUUUGUUUAUUUACUGGCGUUUUGUGAGAUCUCUCUAUGUUUUGCAUUUUAUUCGACCUGAUGGCGCUUUACGGAUUGGCUGCCUUUUCCUCAAAAUUGGACGGCCCCUUUCAGGUUUAAAAGUAUGUUGGUUCUCAAAAAUGAACGAGAUAUUUCCAUAAAUUCUGUUUUAUAGUGGUUCGAAACUAUUGAUCAUGAUUGGUCAAAAUGAAUACGAGAUCGUUGAUCCAUUUUCCCAGGUCAUUAAAUUACGGAAGCCUGCUUUUGUUAAUAACAUAAUGAUAUUUAUACUAAAUUGAUAUGCGACUCUUGUGUGCUCUUGUUGCUGCAUUCAUGCGUUCAGCUUCAUGGGUGCGUAUUUUGAUAUUGAAAAAUGAUAUAUAGCUACUAACAAAAUAUUACCAUAACAUAAACGGUAAUAUAAACAGUAUUAUUAAUUUAUGUUCUAUGAUGAAACUGUAGUAUAACAAUACAAUUUUUCUUUCUUGCUAGUAUCUUGAUAGUGUUGGUCGUUGAUAUUUUUACUAUAGCCCAAUUGUACGUACGCGGGUGAACGCAUCUCAAAACAAGAAAACAAUUAAUGCGAAGGAAGUUUAAAAAAAAAAACUGAAAAAAUUAACUGAAUGAAUUGGCUAAACCGCAAGUUAGGCAUAAUAAUGCAAACCUACCCACUUGUUCGUAUAUUAACUUGACACACAAUAAUAAAAUCAGUCCAUCACUCCAUCUGUCUGUCGUUGAUUGACCUGACAAAAAUUAAAUUUAAAUCAAACAAAUUGCUGUCCCGACAUAAGAAUACACGCUCCUCCGUAGGACACAAAGGAAUAUUCAGCUUCUUGAAUCUGUAAUCAUUUACAUUAUGAAUGGCUAUGGGAACUUUUAGUACAAAAAUAUUUUUCAAGGUCUUCCACUUCACUCUAAAUCUCUAAUUCAAUUACCAAAACAAGCAAAGAAUGAAGCUCUUCCUGUCACUCCUUGCAUUGUCAAAGAAAUACCAUUAUAAAACCUGAAAUCUUCAUGCCUAUGCCUAUGAGCGGUACUCACCUCCAGGGAACUCAAUCCCCCUCUUUCUGGAAACUAGGUAAACAUUUCCAUUCCUUUCAUCUAUCAAAGAAUAAAAAAUCAGUUCACCAGAUUCGUCGUGGAUGUUGCUUCUCUGUAACCCAAUAAGCUUGGUGAAGCUGGAAGAAAAAUUAUCAGCAACCAGAAAAGAGACAUCCAUACAUUCAUGCUUCUUGAACCAAAAUUUUCCAUAGACUUUUAGGAGUAAAACCUUAAGUACCAGCAUUUCAAGGAUGUACAUUGCACUCACUCAAUAGCUGAUCUUCUUGGUUCAAAAACUUCUUCCAGAAUUUUUUAUAUCUUGGAAUUCCCAGCUCCAGCCAAGGUUUCAUGUUUCCAUUAUAGUGCAAAACUGCAGCUUUCUUAAUGGCUUCGAUAUUAAGCCCAUAAUCAUGACCGAGUCCUGACAAUGCCCACACCCCAUCAAGAGCAUAAACAAGGUCCUGAAAGGUGAGCAAACUUCCACGCAAAGCAACAGCUUCCUUUGAUUCCUCUCCCAUGCUGACCUGCAAUCAUAUGGUGAAAUGGAUCAGAACUUUAUGAUUAAUAACAUAAUAGUCUUAAAAAUAGUUUAUUGGUCCUAAUUAUAACCAUUAUUACAUCAGAAGAACGAGAUCAUUUCUCAGAAGUUUCAGCCAGCAGUCAAAGCGGUAGGCAUGGCAUCUAAAAUUAAAAGGGAAGGUGAAAUGAUGGGGCCAGUGGUCCAAUUACCAUCACGACCCAUUUACACAGAGCAAUGCGCAUUUAUUGUCAUAAAUAGAAGUAACAAAAUUUAAAAGCAUCAUUGAACCAUGAACAUAUAUUAGCAUAACAGCUCAGAGAAAGAUAUCUUAGCAAAAUAAACAUCACUCACCUCUCUUACCAACCUCUGGUAGGUUUUAGUAAGAUCUAGCUCUCUCCAUCUGGCCAGAUCAACUAUAUUCAAUCCAGACAUCCAAGCACAAGAAUUUUUAUCAUAACUGUUUUCACCCAAAUAACUCUUCAGCUGACCUAAACUUACUGAGCAGGAUUGCACCGCACCAUUUACUUUACCUCCCAUGUUGAUGUCCCAUAGUGCUGACAAGUCUUUCUGAACAACAACAUCAUCAUCCAGAACUACAACCUUUGUUAAACUCUGAAAUAUCUCAGGAAGAAGAUAGUGCAAAUGAGAGAAAACUGAUAUAUACUGCAUUUUACUAUGGAUUGAUGGACCAUCAACACUGAGUAAGGAAACUCGAUACUCCACAGGCAAGAACAUAUGAAUAAGAAUUGCUUUAUCAUGAGACUCUAAGUUAAGUUGUUCAAUAUUCAACACUUGCACUGUGGCUUCCUUAAAAGUGUUUCUGAAGAACCACAGUUUCAUUGCAAAGUAAUUCUGUCCAUCAGUCAGCACAUGAAAAACCUGAUUCUUAUUUUCCUGUAAAAAAAUGCAGGAAAGAAAGUCAGCAUCCUUACUAAAUUGCAUGCAUAUUGACAAUAAAAAAUUGCAUGGAGGAACAUUUAACGUACUCUUGCACAUAAGACAGUUGAGUUGAUUAAAACCGAUGAUGCAAGUACAUUAGUGGAGAAUAUAACAUAGUGAUGCAAGGAGGGAUCUGAAAAUCUAUCAGCCUGAGAAAGCUCCAUGACCACUGAAGGAGAUUUGAAAUAUUCCACAGUUAACCUCAUAGACAAGCAGUGAAGACUUUUUGGCAUGGUCUGGACUGCAAGUUGGUAGAGGAAUGCACUCUGCUUCAUGUGGAAGUUAGCUUCAUCAUUGGUCAUGUCAAGAAUUUGCCUGAAUUUCUUGUCGACAUUACUACAAUCCACAGGGACUGAUUUAGCUUUGGUUAUUGCAGCUUCCAUCCUCUGAAUCUUCUUUUCAAUCCUAUUACAAUGGCAAUAUUCAUCUUAGUGUCUAUAGAGUUUGACUAUCAUUUCAACAGAAGCAAACAACAAAAUGUCAACAGGACAGAUGUACCCUUGGAAAACAUUAAGCAUGUAUACGAAGCUGAGUAAAUGCUAUACUGUAAAAUGAUUAAACUAGAAAUGGGGCUUAAAGAGCCAUGAACCAAGCCUAUCUUGGAAUUGGACAUUCCACAUCUUAAAUAUGGAAUAAACCAACACACGCAGAUGCAGUACAGCUAAUAAUGAUAAAAUCCAACCAAAGCAAAAAUGAGAUGGGUCAGAAACAUUUAGUUGAUAGUCCGUGUAAUGUUUGGGAUGCAAAAUCCAAGGACUCUUCAGGUGCACAAACAAAUUUAUAUUCAUGAGGCAAGCAAAUUCAUGAUGUGCAAAAGGAUGCCCAAAAAAUCUACACAAAGCUUUAUAAUUAAGAAGAUGCAUCAGUAAAUGUGACCUAUGUACUCAUCAAGUGGAAGAUAGAAAAACCAUGCUAUCUUGCACAACCUACCCUGGAGGAAGAUCCACAUCUGUGGCACUUUCACUAAGAACACGCUCCACCUCUUGAAUAUUUUGUCUCAGUGCACGAGUUAACUUAUCCUGUGAUGGAAGUUUUGCAAUACUUGGGUAGUAAGCUCGAGCCACAAAAAGCUGGUCUUUCAAUUUCUUUACCAUAGUGUCCUUCAUUUCUUCCCUAUGUUCUCUACGCCAAAGGCAGUAGCUCCCAAAUUUCAAUUCACAGUUUUCAUUUUCAUCAACACCACCUCGUCCAGAAUCAGCGACAGUACCAGCAAUUUUAGAAUUCUGCACAGCAGAUUUACUGAAUCUCAGAGGCUUUGCAAGCUUUAAAAAUUUACAUAAAAUUGGAAAAAAUAUGCAUGCAUACACUUGUAUUUGGAAGUGAUUGUGGCACAGCAGGAGGCGAAACUGGUGUAACUGUUGAUUGUUUUAGAGAAGGAGGGGAAAAAAAAUUCAAUUAGCAUCAUCAAGAGGGCAAGAAGAAGAGCAAACACUUUGGGAAAAAUGAAUUAUCUUGGACCUUUGCUGUGAUGACUAGUGUCAGUGGCACUCAUAUCAGAUGUUUCAGUUUUAGCUCCAUCGGGGAAAUUGCUGCGAACAUCCUGACAGGCAAAGUUCGUGAUGAAAAACAACAAAACAUCCUUUUGAAUUCCUAUGCUAAAUCAAAAAAAUACUUAAGACUUGUAUACAGUCUUUGGAAUAAACGUGAAUAUGCAUACACUCUAUAUUGAGAAAAUGGGAUGAGAAUUCAAAAAUUAAAAAAAAAAUGGAGAGGGGGCGUGGUGGAGAAUUAAUAUUUCUUUAUUUGCCUAAUAACAAAAUAUUGAUGACACUAUGUGUAAUGGCAAAGUUCUAAAAGAAGGGAAAGAGAACUAUUAAUAAUAAAAGAAAUCAACUUUCAAUAAGUAAUCUAGGUCCUAUAAGAAUAAGAUUAAUGGUCUUAGGAAAACCAAAUCUAACUCUAAUAAAAAUUAAACAGAGGGGAAAUUAUCCUAGAGCAGCCAAGAGAAAAUCUAUCAAAAUAACAUUUUGGACAGCCUCAUCCAUGUAUUUCAAAAUCUUCUAAAAUAUUAAACUGCCGAUUUGAAUUCCAAAUUAAUUUCCCAGCAUCAUAGUCUUCCCCUUAAGAAGCCAAUUUCGUUCCUUAUAGCAUCUUAUGUGUGGGUAGAGUCAAUUAUUAAAGCAGCUUACUUUCUGAUUUUAUCAAAUCUUAUGGUAUCUUGCUUGCUUGAAAACGCAAAUAUUAUAACAUUUUCCGCAAUAAACGAACUUGAGAGCUUUCAAAUGAAUUUUUACUUUUGGUAAUAGCGUAAGAAGUUCAACCUACAAAUGAAACAAUGAAGUGAAAUCACAAAAUGAAAACGAAUGCGAAUGAUAUGAUUUGUUAAGAGUUGAAAACAAUUGAUGAGCUAUUUCCUAUAAGCUUAAGCUUUUGAGAUUAAUGAUUCUCAACAUGUUCAGACUUAGAUAUUAUUGUUCGACCGUCGCCAAUUAACUUAUGCUUUUAGGCAUGCUACCAAAUCUAGUUUCAAUGGUGUUUGUUGCAGCCUGAUCUGAGAGGUUAUAUUACAACUUAGUCUCUGAGGCAGCAUUGCCAAUGCCACUGUACCUAAUUUGAAACCAAGACCUCUUUCAAUACCUAGUCCUCAGUGGUUUCUUGCUUUCUUGUCACUUUAAAGCUGUUCCAACCUAUAGAGAAUCUAGUGAUGUAAACUUAAUUCAAAAGAAUUUUGCAUUAACUCAAUCUAAUUUAAUCAUGCCAAUCUCGCAAAAUUAAACAUAAAUCAGGUCAAUGGGUUGCUAUACGAUUAUUCAUCUACAAGAUAUCAUUAAAUUAUAAGAAUUUAAUGCAAAUGACAAGUCUCAAUGGUUUAAUAGUAAAGAAAUCACUAAAAUAUGCACCUUUGAAAUAUUUGGAGCUAAUUUUUUGACAAGGUCAUUUAUAUGAGUAGAUCGAUAAUUCUGCAAAAACAAUAAAAGAAACAUCCAUCAAAUGAUCACUAUCUAUUCCAUAUAAAAAUCAAAAUAAACUACGAACUUUUUGUUUCCACUGGUUGUAUAAGCAAUGUAUACGUUCACAGGAAAAUAAGUACAGCAUUGACAGUCAAUGCAUUACCUCAGCAUAAUUGAAGGUCUCGCUGUUCUCGUACUUAUCAUAAAUUUUAAGAUCGCUCUGAUUUUUAGCAACACCAAAAAGAAAAUGCAAAAAAUUAGGAAAACAUUAACAAAAGGAAAUUGCAAGAAACGAAGUUGAACGGAUAGCUUACUACAAUUGAAGUUUUAUGCACAGGUACAUAUCCUGCAGAAGAAUCAGAAUACACUGAUGAGAUUCGCUAUAAAUAGAAAUCCGGAACUAAUAUCAGCUAUUUCUGGUGUGAAGUAAAGGACAAUAAUGUAGUUUAAAGAGUUUUCUGCAGUUGUCGCACCAGAGUGAAGUAACAAUUAAGGAAACCUAAGUGAUGAAGUUGAAUGUCAGGCUUAAGUACUACUACUACUCAAUACUCAUGCUAACACAGAGAUCUAACUAGUGCAAAUGUAGAUUGAAGAAUGAAGCAUGAUUGGAUCUGAAGAAAGACAGCAGUGUAAUUGUUGGCACUUCCGCGAAGGACAACAGAUCUAAAGCAAAAGUAAAGUUACCGAGUACUGACCGUUGGGAUUGGGAUUGGGAGAGUGAAAGCCAUUGUGAAGGCCAAGCAAGAAAGCGAGAGGGACAAGCAUGGAAAGGAUAACGAGAAAGAGUACUCCAAUCACUAGGCUUCUCCAUCGCCUCUUCCCCGUAGUAACCAAAACUGCGCCUCCACCGCCGCCGCCACCACCACCUUUCAUUGCCGGGUAAAAGUUAAUUAUCUAUCACCACCGGAGUUUCGUUAUUACUGUGUUAGUUUAGGCUGUUGGAACAAAAUUAAUCCCUUAUAAGAUGACGGACGGCAGUGAUGUCCGUCGCCAGGCCCACCGUAGUAGCGUAAUCUCGAUCUCACUCGGAGUCAAGACACUCUCAUUUCUACUACUACUUGAGCACUAACUGAAAGGAAAUCUUAGAAGAACCAGUGCUUUUGCACAUGAUGAGAGUGGGGAGAUCACCGUUCCCACGGCUUUGAGCUUGCGCGUGAAUUGCACUUCCGCUGGCUAACACGUGUGGACCCCGCGGUUUCAUUCCUUUUCCCUGAAAUUAUAGAAGAUAAUUAUCUUUUUACCUCAAGCCCGAAAGUAGAGUAUCGCAGCAAUGGGUCUGAUAUAAUCUAAGUUCAAAAAAUAUUUGUUUUUAUCUAAAAAGUUUUAAUUUUAAUUUUUAAUUUUGUUAUCGUAAACAUCAGAGUUAUUGUUUCAACGACGGUUGUGCGAUACUUGUUCACGCAACAUGAAACCAUUUAAGAUUAAGGGUCAGUUUGAUAUUGCGAACAUGGAUGAAAUAAACGGUUUGUAUUGUGUUUAUGAAAUAAUCUGUUAUUUAAAAAAGUUGUUUGAUAUUUGAUAAAUUGUGUUGUUGCGCUUGAAAAGUUGAGCAUAUACGUUUGAUAAAUUUUAUUACGAAAAUAUUUUUUUAUUAUAUAAUAACUAAAAUAGAUAUAAGUUUUAAUUAUUUUUUAUUUUUAGAGUAUUUAAUAAAUUGUUUAGAUAUAUCUUUUUUUCUUAAAUAUGCAAUAUAUAUCAUACUUUAAAAGUUAUAGUUGUGAAAUUAGAAUAUGAACUUACUAGGUCAAAAUUAGAGAAAACCUACGCGGUUAUGACGGUAAUAUGAUAUCUCAUGAUUUAUACAUAAGAGUUUAUGAAUAAGUGAGAUACAAUUAUUUUUUUAUUAAAAUAUAAGGUUAUAAUAAAAAAUUUUAAAAAGUUUGGUAGCUUAUUUAAUAAACUGUUUAUGAAAAACAACCAUUUACCUGUUUUUAAAAACUGCUGACGAAAUGAAAAAAAUUAUUUUUACAAAAUUUACUAAACACUAUUUUAUCAAAAAUUAUAAAAAAAAAGCUUAUUAAAUUUCAACCGCACUCCUAAACUAGCCCUAAAUGUUAUGACGUCUUAUUCAAACAAUUUAUUUUAAUUAGUAUGUAAUAUUGAAAAUAUUAUUCAAUUAAUUUUUUACAAUAAUAUUGAAUAUUAAAUAUUAAAUUUAACAAUGAAUAAUAUAAUUUAAAAAUAAUAUAUCAUUCAAAUAGUUGUUUUUACUUUAUUAAACUAAAUUUAACAUAAUUUUAUCGACAUUAUACAAAUAAAAAAGUACUAUAUAAUUUAGGAUAAUCCAAUCUAAUCUAACUUCAAAGUUAAAAAUCCAAUUCAAUAUAACAUAAAAAAAUCCAGUUCGAUCGAACAUAACCUUAGAUGCUUACCUCUCCCCUUAAGAACGAAAUUUCUCACCGACUCAAGUACAAAGAUAAUGCCAAAUCCGGGGUCACGCAUCUAAUUGUAGAGAAUGUGCUAAUAAAUAACUUGCUACUAAUAUUAAUAAAUUAACCAAAAUUGAUUGAAAAACAAAAUUGUUUAAAGAGCCAAUAAACCAUCGUGGCACCCAUGCAGUAGGUAUUAGGUGCCUAAAGCUGUACAACACGUCGACGGUCCUCUGUCAUAAAAUGUACAUAGCAUCGUUACAAUACAAUCACAAAUUCAAGCUACAGAAAAAAGUUACGUUUCCACAUGGUGAGCCCAGCAAGUUCAUAUGGUCGUAUAUGAACUCUCUUUGAUCAAACGUCCUCUGAAAUCUUCACAUUUUGGUCAACAUCCACGCUUUAGUUCACAACGAGGCAUAUAAUUGUAAGCACAAAUCGUUAUGGUAUCAUGUUCGAUCCAUGUACAGUCUAUGAUUAAAGGUUAUGUAAUCACUAAGCAAACAAGAUUUUCCAUAUGAAAAAUAUUGCUUCUGAAACAAAAAGAAGCAAACCCAUCAAAUCCAACAAUCAACACCCAAACGAGAAAUACUGAAAGCCCAUACUUGUCAUAAAGAAAAACUCAGUGCAAUAAGUAGUUCAACACCAGUCUACCUUUCAACUAACCAUAUCAAGUGAAGCAACUUUUUCAGCUUCCUCAGUUCCCAGACCCUCUCUGACAGGGCUAUUACUUCCACAUAUGCUACCACUCAAAGGACUAGUAGUAGCAUUGUUGACUGAAUCUGCUGUCAAGGUGCUCAUAUUAGGUGAACUAGAACUACAACCAGCAACAUGCUCUUCUGAUACCUUCGGAGGCGGAUUAGAAAUAGAACCAGAAACAAGCUCUUCUAACUCUUUCGGAGGCAAACUAGAAAUAGAACCAGAAAUGUGCCCUUCUGAUUCUUUAGGCCUAUUCAGGGCAUUGCAGUGUGGACAGUAAUAUGUAAUAUAUGGGAAAUCCUCCUUCCUAGCAAGACCUUCGCACAUACAACAAAAGAAAAAAUAGUUUUCUUCAAUCCCGAUCAUUUCAUAAACAACACAAUUGAUUUUGGGGUCGUGCAUGUGAUUUCAUCGUUAAGCAGUAAGAGGGUAGGAAUAUCCUUUCUAACAGACUCACCAUUAUGCAUAUGGCAGUUGCCACAUAUAAGAGCAUAAGAUUGUGAAGGAUCGUCUCCAACAAGUAUUGCUGCAAUUCGAGCAAUCCAUCCUCCGUCAUGCAUGGUAGACACCUGGGGAUAGUGAUGAUUCACAACAAGUUGAUUAUGCUCAGGACCCUCGCUCCCAAAGGAACUAGAGGUUUCUUCAUCAGAAUGAUGCAAUGGAGUGCUACCAGCACCACCAGAUCUGGGCUGCAAUUGCUUUCGAUUUCGAAGACCGCUAGAUGGCAUAACCUCGACAUCAUUGCUAUUCCCCAGUGGAACAUUGAAAUUAGAUUCAUCCCCCACAAACACAUUCAAACCAGAAUCUGCGCCUAGCUUGGAUGCCAGGACUGUUGCAGCGGCAGCUUUUGCCGCUGGGUCAGGAUCAUACCUCUGUAAAAUAAAGCUUGUGCUAAGUACAAUUCCAAACUUUUUUUAAGAAUGAGUCGUGCAUUCGGAAAUUAAAAAAAAAAAAAAAACUCCAUUCAUUUCUUUUUGAUGAGGCAAUAACCACUUCCAUCAGCAACUAACACCCUUUAUUCAUUACAGAAACCAUAUCAUGGUAACAACUCUUAAACUCAUUUGAUGUGACCAAAAAAAAAGAAUUCUACAAAAUUGCACAAUAUUGUCUAAGACUCUUAGCAACCAAUUCAAAACAACACAAAGGGGUAAAACAAAAUCUUAAGAAUCGAGGCUUACAUCUCAAGCUUUAUAUUACACUUAAAAGCUUAAACAGACCGAUGGGACCUGAAAGAGGAUUCUAUAGAACACCUACAAGAAGUUUCGCGAAUAAUUACCUGAAUGAGCUGUUGAGUAGUAUAAUAAUUUGUCCUCUCUUUGAGUUCAUCAAUUUUGGCUUUCCUCUCAACCCGAAGCCUUUCUAGAGUUUUCUGGUCCUUGCGAUCACCUAAAAGCAUCAGAUAAAAUACAAGUUGAUAAAUAGAUCUAUCCUCUUAAAGCCACCAUAUUUGUUUGGGUUUUGGGUGGGGUGGGCGGUGUGGGGGUAGUUUAGGGUGAGUGCGUGUUCAAUUUCUUUUCAUAGAAUGUAGACAUGAUAGUCGCUAUCCAAAUUUAAUCAAGGAAGAUGUCAGGCAACCAGUGAGAUAAAUAAAAAUAUUGCAAUAAAUUAAAAAAAGUUCUAAAGUUCAAAGCACACACACAUCCUGUUGAAGCUCACAAAUGCUGAAUAAGCAAGUGCAGAUAAACCAGGCAAAAGAAAUAUGGGUAGAACUUGAAGGGCCCUCGUCUUCCAAUUUAAUUCCAUUGAUCUUGUUGUCAUGAUAGCAUAACCAACCGCAAUAACCUGAAAAUUGAUACCAUUUAAGGGAAUUUAUUAAAAUAUAGAUAACAAUAGCAACAAGCAUCCAGUAAAAGAAUUGUGGUUGGGCCUACACAUGUUUAAAAGGAUAAAAUGAUGAGGCCACUAUACUCAAACCUUCAAACCAAAUAUUCUGGUACCAAAUAUGUCAAAUAUUAAAGAGAGAAAUCUAAGCAGGUGGCAGGAGCCAAAAAAAAAAACAUAAAUUUGAGAACGGUAACGAAAAAUAUCUAAGCAGUGGUCAGAAGGAAAGAAAAUCAAGAUAGUCAAACUUAAAGAAGUUUUGAAUGCAACAGAUUGACAUUUCUCUGUCAAAAGACGUAUUGUAAAAUAGAAAGAAUGUUCAAAUCACUGGUUUGCUCUAACUCUUGCACCCUAAACUCAUCUGCCAACCAAAAAUUUGUUAAAAAAGCAACGAAAACUAGGUAAACUUUUUCACUCAGCAUGGAAAUAAAAUUCUCUGGCCAAAACUUGCAAAAUCCAACUGUAAUGGUCAUUCAUGUAUGUAAAGACAUCUAAAAUGUUAGAAAACACAAGCAGACAUCAUACAAUUAUAAGCUCCACCACAGUCAUUUAUUUCUAAGGAAAUUUACUUAUUUAUGAUCAGAAACAAUUUGAUGCAUGCAAAAGAGAAUCUUUUAGUGGUCAUGACUAAGUUCUCUCACUGUCUCAGUGGCUUGCUAACAACAUUGUUAUAGGUCAUCGGAGACUCACUAUACUCAUAAAGGAAUGCAUCAUCAUCUGGAAUUACACCAAUAUUUUAACAUUUUGCGCUAUGAAAAUGAAACCAAUGAUUUGAUCAAACCACCCCCCAACCCUCCUGAAAUAAAGAUAAAGGACAUAGGCACUGCACGUCUGCACCACCUAAAAUGCCAAGACUAAGUGAUAAAAAGAGAAAACGUAAAAAGUUACAGUGGGAAGAAACAAUGUAUGGUAUGUACUUUAUCCAAAAUGCCAAGACUUAGUGAUAAAGGAGUAAGCACCUCAAAAACAACAGUGAAUAUGAUAAGAUGCCUAGACAUCCUCCUCCAAGUCUGGGAUCUCCUUUUCACUCGAGCAAGAAUAGCAGCUUCUUCCUUAGAAAUGUAUUGCAAUCUCUUCUCAAAAUCAUCACCCUUUAGUCUAAAGAUACCAUUCCAAAGACGAGAAAUGAUACCCUUACGCUUCUUUUCAACUGCCUUGGAAUCUUUUUUUUCACUUUCAGUAAUGCACUUGUCUUCUACCAUUUCUUAUUUUGCUUUACUUCCUUCUGCAAAAGUGAAAAAAAAGCUAAGCAUCUAUAAGUUGGUAAUGCAGCUAAAUAAAAUUCAAAUUACAAUCAAUAUCAGAACCAAACAGGAAAAUCCUUCAGACAUGAUCAUUAAACUAAUGGCAACCAGUGACAUAACCACUGUUAACUAUUUAUAGGUGAGAAACGACCAGUAAGAAAUAAAAAUCAGUUACUUAAAUGACAAAGCUUUAUUAUGAGAUGCCUAUGUAAGAAGAUAACAAUAAUCUCGUAGAUUUCCCUUCUCCAUUGUUCAUAUGAACUAGCUAAAUUUGAAUCCAAUUCAUGGGUAUAUUUUUAUGUAUUUAAGGCUAAUUAUCUGUUCAAUGGCUCUUUAGAACAACAAAGACACAGCAGUUAAAAAUGGUGCUUUUCAAUACAAUUUAUGAGAUCACUGUCUAAAACCAGACAUCAUAGAGCAAUAUAAAUGCUGCUCACCUGGUCCCAUGCAAGUCCUAAUUAUCAUCAGCUAAUAUUUAUUAUUUAUUCAUUUAUCACAGAGUAAAGGCAACAAGCACUGCAUCAUAAAUAAUAAUUUCCAGGUAUCGGGAAUAGUUCAGCGUUCAACAGAUCAGACAUGACAAUUUUUGUAUGAAGUAGUUAAAGAUAGAUUAAGAUAAAAAGUAUCUUAACAGCCUUCUCUUUCUCUUAAUCAGACCCACAUAGUAAGCCAAACUUACAGAUGAUCCUAUUGAUGCCCGAGCUCAAAAUUAUUCUGUGACCCUACAUUUUAUCAAUCAAAUCAGACUACUUUUCAAAUAAAAACGGAAGUAACAAUUCCCGUAACGGAUUACAGAACAUAGGAUAAUGAGCAUAUCACAACGAACAAGAGAUACAUAAAAAAAUUUGCACAAUCCUCAAUAAGCUAAUACUGGAGCCAAUAUGCUGUAAAACAUGAAAAAUUUCAUAGCCAGGAGCAGACUAAAAUAUCUGAAUCCAUAAAUGGAAGCUGUUAAGUAAACGCAACUUAAUUUGAAAUAAUGCCGGAAUUCAAUUCGUUUUCGGUGUUUAAAGGUGCACAAUCUUUCUGAGCUACUUUCAGGAAACACAAGUGAUGCAGGCUCUAUUUUUGUUUUUUUUUUAAAAAAAAUAGAUAGAUAAAAAAGGCAACAGACAUAUAAGAAGCAAACGUGAUCGGAUCCUCUACUAAUUGCCUGUUCAAUUGGAUUAUGAAAAAUAAAAAGUCAAAAAUGAUUAAGUUUAACGCUAGAAAUCUCAUAGCUAACCUGAAUUAAAGAUAGUAUGUUUGGGAGGAGCGACGAUCAGAGGUCGAAAGGUUCCAGCGCGAAGAGCAAAACGAUUAUUGAAGAUUUCGUGUGGAAUGGUUAAGUCACCGUUUGAAUCGCACGUGCGAAGUGAGAUCUCACACGAGGGAAAAUGUAUAACAGCUAGUUACAGUUACAGAGGAAAGAAAGAGUCGAUUGACAGUGGACUGUGGAGAAAUUGGUAUCUCGGAGGUUGGGCUUCGUGUGGAUUCAGCAACUUAAACAAUCAUGACGUUUCAACUAUAGAAGGCAACCAAUGGCCGGGGUUGGCCUUUAAUGGUUUUCGAAUUAUUUAUUUUACCGAUGAAAUUUGAAAGAUAUGGGUAAAAAAAAAUUAAUUUAGAAUUUAUCAUUCCUCUACGUCUUUGAAAAAAUAAAUUAGGGUAAUUUUAUUUUAUCUGAAUGGAUUUGGAGAUGUCGAUUUUUUUUUUAAUAUAUUAAGAUCACAAUAAAGUGUAAACCAAGAUUUUAAUUUUGGCAGUGAAACAAAUCUGCCAGAUUUUUCCAUAAACCAAACAAUCAUACGAUGAAAGCAAUGAAAUAGAAAAUUGCAAGCAAUAUAAAUAUUAUGAUCCAAAACACCUAAAUUUAACAAAUAUGACGACAAUAAAAAAUAGUUCAACUAGUAUGACUGAUUUAUAAAGAAAAUAUAAAAUUAUCCUACAUUGUUGAACUACUCAAGUUUGGUUGGCAAGUUGAGAAAAUUAUUAUCGAAAAUCACUACGCAAAUUUUGCUCAAAACUCUAUCUAUAAUACAUAAGUAAUGUAAUAAAAGAAUAAAUAAAUCAUAAACCCCCAACGGUGUAAAUAAUCUUUAAAUUGUCAUGAUACUUUAGACUAAGCGUGAUUUUAAUGCGGAAAGAGGGGUAUUUUACUUAAGUUAUCCAAUUGCCAUAGUCAUGUGAAAUAAAAUGAAAAAUAAAAAUGUUUUUUUGCCUUUACUUAUCAAAUUAGAAUGGUAAAAGUUUUCGGUGUCCUGGUAAUAUAGUUUUGAGAUAAAACGAGUCGUGAAUAAUACAAAUAAGAAUAAAGUUCUUCUCAAAAAAAAGAAAAGAAUAAAGUUCGUUAAUCACUUUUACCACUAAGGUUGUUAAUUGUUUUUAACCAAGGAGAGGAGACCGAAGGUUGUUAAUUGCUGAAUGCUUGCCAAUAUGAUGAAUCUUCGCUAAGGUUAGCUUUUAGAUCAAUUUUACUGAAACCCCCUCGUUUAUAUUCUAAACAGACUCAACUCCCUACGGUUUCAAAUUUCAUCAAUAAGACCCCAUUUGCAAAUUGAGAUGAUCACUCCCUUAGAUAAAUAGAAUUGAUAAACUUUGAAGAGUUAAAUUAUAUUAUAAAACUAUUACAGCAAAAGUUACAAGUGAUAUUACUACAAGGAAAAUGUGAGGUGGAAGAAAUUGAAAAGAACAGAGAAAGAUAAUUAUUUAUUGGCCUUUAUUAAAAGACAUGAAAAAUUAUACAAGAUAUAAACAUACUGUUAAAAAUAUGUUUAUAAAUACAUCGGCUCACUCCCUUUUUCUCUCUAUUGACAUCCAUACCAAUUAUGAACUCGAGGCUGUUAUUAAAACUGAGGGAGGAUUGACGAGAAAUAAUGUAAUUUGUAAAAGAGUAAGAUUAUUUAAAGAGAGUGAUAGUAAACUUAAUUAUAAACUCACUUAAUUACAUUUAUUGUUACUUUGUUAGUUUUAUUUAUAACAUUAAAUGAUAUGACAUUCAUAAUUGAUAAAUUUUCACAAGUAAAGUAAUUGUAUUAUCACAUCACCUAUUUAAUGAAUGCCAUAUUAUGAAAAAUGAAAUUUUAUGAUGUUUGCUACUAUUCAACUCCUAUUAUUACUGUUUUACUUUCGAGUAUUUAAAAAAAUUACUUAGAAAGUCCUCCAAGAACCUGUCCUAGUGAUUUACAAGUAAUUUUAUUCAAUUAAGUGCUCCAGUGUCAGGGAAAUAAUAGAUUAAAAAGUUGAUUUAAGAUUUACCCCCCCUAAAAAAAAAAAAAAACAAAAACAGACCUGCGGGGCUAUUAUUCAUAAAAUUUGAAACCAUAAGGAUAUAUACAUAAGGUGUAUCCGUGAAAUUUCUCCUCUAAACCAAAAGCCUGAUAAAGGAAUCAUCAUAGGCCCGUAAUCGUAUGCAUUUGCAUAAGGGCGAUUAAUCAUUUAAUCAUAUUGGCAAAUCACAACUGCAAUCCAUUCUCACCAUCUCGCCAAAAGCUCUGAAAUCACCCUUAUCUCUCUCCCUCCCGCUUUGAAACUCUCUGUUGAUCAUUCUCCGCCAACCGUGAAUCGUCGUUUGUUUUCUGAUAAUUUUUGUUUUUUCACUUCCGGAGUCUUUUGUAGAAACAAGUGCGCGUGCUGAUGUUAACUUCCAGGGUCAAAAUCUUGGUUUAAAACUCACUCGAUUCCAAAUCAACAACUCCGGUAAAGUUAAUUUCCUCUUAUCGGUGCUUGCAUUUUUAUUCCUUUUCUCUUAAUUUGCGGAGUAAAUUCGAUUUUCCUGAAUUCGUGUGUUGUUGUUUCUCUGCGAAAGUAUGCUAGAAACGAGAGUGAGUGAAAUUUCAAAAGGAUAAACAAAUAUAACAAAUACUUUAGUUCGUGAAAUAUGAAUCGACACGAAACCCAACCUUCAAGAAACCAAUGCAUUGUCUCCAGAGUAUUCGACUCUCCCUCGUGUGAGAUCUCACCUCGCACGUGCCAUUCAUCAAUUCAAAGUUCAAACUCCAAACGGUGACUCCACCUGCGUCUUUCCUCUUUAAUACAUUUCUCGUACCGAUCGAUCUCCGAUCGCUGCUUCUCCCAAUUUCAGGUUGUUGGUUGUUUGCUUGGUUUGACUUCAAUCUGUUUUUGUUUUGAAAUUUUUCAAAUAGCCACAUAAUUAGUGUACGGAGGGUGCAGUUGCUGCGGCAUUCUUGUUUGCUUCUUACGUGUCUGCUGCUUCAUCCAUAUAUGAAUCAAACAAUUGUCCGUUAUUUCUUGGUCUUCAACAUUCAUUUCUACUUUUGAAUAAAAUUUUUGAAAUUAUUAUUUGGUUUGAUUAAAUAAUGCAGGGCACUUGGUGAUCUUUGAGCUCUGGCAUCAACAGGAUUGCCUGGAAGUUACGCUCAUUUGCAGGUCUAAUUGAGAGAAAAAUAAAGGCAGUUGAGGUACUUUGCCUAGAUAACAAAAGUUUCAUGCUGUUCUGUUGAUUGCUGAACCAUUCCCAAUACAUGGCUGUUGUUAUUUAUGUUGGUGUCGUGCUUUUAUGCUUUUACUCUGUUAAAACUGAAUAAAUAAUGAAUUCUCUCCGUUGAUUUAGUUUAUUUAUAUAUAUUUAUAAUUCUUUGUCAUAUGUAGUACUGUCCUAUGCUUUGGUAUGAAUUAUAUAUAUAUAUAUAUAUAUAUAUUAUGUCAUUCCAUUUUUUCCUUUUUUUUUUUGCCUUUUUAUUAUAAUACUUUGAAUUGAAUUUGGCUGCCAAAUAUCUACAUUUGGGAUUUAGGACUUGAUUGUUUCAAUGAUUUGAUUAUUUCUAUCCAAAAGCAACAAUUUUUGCUUUCAGAAUCUGUGUUUUUGUUGAUGUAAAGAGUCUUUGAAUAUCGGUAAUGCAGUAUAUUAUGUUGUAUGAAUUGUGGGAAGCAAAUGAUUCUCUCUCUAACUUGUGGGAACUAUUUUUUCUGAGAUGCUGUGGGAAGCAACUGAAUAUAUUGUUGUUGUAGUUAGGUUACUGGUUGCUGUUAAUUUCAUAUUUUUGUGAUGAAAUUUCCUAAUUGCUUUUCAUAUUCAUUGUAAUCAAUUGUUAUGGUUGCUUAGCUUUUCUUUAUUUUUUCCACAAGGAAGUGGAGCAAAAGAAGAAAUGGCAGAGGACAAAAGUGGUACUGAAAGCGAAAAUAAAGAUUCUGCUGCUUCUUCAGCAGUAGUAGGAAAGAAGCGCAAGGGUAUCAUUUCCCGAAUUUGGAAUGGUAUCUUUAGAUUAAAGAGGGAUGAUUUUGAGAAGAGAUUGCAGUACAUUUCUAAGGAAGAAGCUGCCGUUCUUGCUAGGAUGAAAAGGAGAUCACAGACUUGGAGGAGGCUGACCAGGCAUCUUAUUAUAUUCUCUGUUAUUUUUGAGGUGCUCUUUGUUUUAUCACUUAAGCGUUGACAUUUUGGAUGCAGAGCUUUUUUGGUCAAAUCAUUUGGCUUCAUUUUCAUAGCUAGGAAUGUAUAAAUUUGCUGCAAUGCAAACUGAUAAUACAUUUCUUUAUGAGUAAUACAAGCCUCUGUUGAGCAAUAAUAGUUUCUUUAGCGAGCCAUUUAGAGAAGUUAGACAUGAUCGUUGCAUUUUUUGUCCUCUGCAUGCUCAGUAUUUUAGAACUCAAGUUAUUUGUUGUUUAGAGAGAGAAAAAAAAAGUUUAAGUUAUUUGUUGUUUAGAGGGGGGAAAAAGUUUCUUAGAAAUAAAUUACAGAGAAACAACUGAUAGCUGUGUAUUGUCUGCCUGUGUUCUUUCAACAUUUGAGAUUGCUGCAUAGGCAUGAAUGCUCACUACAGUUUAUUAUUGCAAGUUUGGCCAGAGAACUUUACUUCCAUGCUGAAUAAAAAUUUUACCUAGUUUUCAUUUCUUUUAUAAGAAAUUUUCCAUUGGAAAAUGAGUUUAGGGUGAUGAGUGGAGGGAGCAAUGUUUUGGAUGUCUGUUGUAUUAUACAAUAUGCCUUUUGACAGAGAAGUGGCACUCUGUUAUGGUUUCAAGACUCCUAACUAUCAUGAUUAUAUUUUUUUUUUCUGGCUCCUGCUUAGAUAUUUUUAACUACACUUUCCUCCUUCGUUCUGCUUGGAACUUUUUCUUUCAUAUCUGAAAAAAUAAGAAGUGGAUGAUUUUCAUUACAAUUUCAGAGCAUGUGGCUUUAUCAUUUCAUCCUUUUCAAAAUGCAUAGGUCGACUACAAUCCUUUAACUUGAUGCUUUCUAAUCUUUUCAACUUAAUUUUGAAUAAUUUACCUUAAAUUAUAACAAUUUUCAGGUUAUUGCAGUUGGUUAUGCUAUCAUGACAACAAGAUCAGUAGAUUUAGAUUGGAAGAUGAGGGCACUACGAGUCUUGCCUAUGUUUCUUUUGCCUGCUUUGUCUUCUCUUGCUUAUUCGGCAUUUGUGAGCUUCACGAGAAUUUGUAUGUGGUUUUUAACUGUAGAAAUGUCUUUAUUGGAAUCAUGUUAAAAUGUUAUUUCUUAUUUCUCCCUCUCUUUGAUUUAUUGGUGCCUAUUAAAACUUGUAUGCUACCAUAAUGGCUUAAUAUGGUGGCUAUAUGAGGACAGGUGCCCUAAUUAAGCUGUAUUUUAUCUGAUGUUUAUAGGUGAUCGCAAGGACCAGAAAACUCUGGAAAGGCUUCGAGCUGAGAGGCAAGCCAAAAUUGACGAACUUAAAGAGAGGACAAAUUAUUACACCACUCAACAGCUCAUUCAGGUAAUUGUUCAUGAUCUUUCUUCUAGGUGUUCAAUAGAAUCCUCUUUCAAGUUCUGGUUGUCUCAAGUUUCAAAGAAAAGCUCUGGUUGUCUGUUAAUGUUUUGAAGUCUACGCAAAAGCUUGAAAUGCAAGCCUUGAUUAGGUUUUCUUAUACACCCCUUAUGUUGUUUCAUGUUGGUAUCUUAGACUAUGUCAAAUAAGUUUGAGAAUUUUAUGGUAAAAGUCUAUGAGAGAUUAAGGACAUUGUUACUGGUGGAGAUGUUUGUUGCCUGGCCAAAAGAAUGAGUGAACUGUAAGCUUUCAUUUGUUCUGAAGCAGUUUUUAUUUUUCUUUUGAAAGCAUAUAGUGAGGUUAAACAAAAAGUGGAGUUUCUUUGCAAAUGCAAGACAUUUUAUUUCAGUGAAUGUGAAUUUUACAAGCAUAAACUCUAUUAUGCAGAGGUAUGAUCCUGACCCAGCGGCAAAAGCUGCUGCUGCAACUGUACUAGCAUCCAAGCUUGGUGCUGAUUCUGGCUUGAAAGUUUAUGUGGGAGAUGAAUCCAAGCUCAAUUUCCCAGUUGGGAAAAGCAAUGAUGUCGAAUUUGUGCCAUCAAGCGGCCUUCGAAAUCGAAAACAAUUGCAUACCAGAUCCAGUAGUGCAGGAAGCACUCCAGUGCAUCAUUCUGAUGAGGGAACCGCUCCCCAUUCAGUCAGGAGUGAGGAUGCUCAAACUUCUGAGCAUAAUCAACUGGUUGUCAAUCAUCACAAUCCUCAGGGAUCUAACACACAUGACGGAGGAUGGAUUUCUAGAAUUGCAGCACUACUUGUGGGCGAAGAUCCUACACAAUCUUAUGCUCUUAUAUGUGGCAACUGCCAUAUGCAUAAUGGUGAGUCAACUUAUACUCUUCUAUAAUGCAGCGACUUGCAACCGACAAUCAAUUAUUUUCUUUGUUAAUGUGGCAUAUUCGUAGAAAACGUUUUUUCUUAAGUUAUUUUUAUUGUUUCAUUUUUUGUCCAGGACUCGCUAGGAAGGAGGAUUUUGCAUAUAUUACUUAUUACUGUCCACACUGCCAUGCCCUGAAUCGGCCAAAAGAAUUGGAAGAGCAUGUUUCUGGUUCUGUUUCUGAUUCCCCUAAUAUGAGCUCCUUAACAACUGAUUUAACGAACAAUGCCGGCAGUCCUUUGAGUGAAAGCGUACGCCCAAGUAAUAGCCCUGAAACAGAAGGGUCGGGAAUUGAGGAAGCUGAAAAAGUUGAUUAAUUUAAUAUGUUUAGUUGUAAGAUAGAUACUAGUUUGGAGAUGAUACUUGGGUGAGAUGAUUUUCUUCUGCAUGGAUGUGUUGUCAGUUUGCUUCUUGUUUUGCUCAAAAGCAAGGAACUAUUGACAUUUCAUACGGAUUUUUUUUUUUUGUUAAUAGAAUCUUUGGAUAACCUCAUCGGAGACUACCUAUAUUUUUUCCCUUCAAUCAUUCAUGAUGUCAUAAUUUGAUUAUGCUUCCUAAUUAAAUGCCUUCUUUAGCUGUUGAGUGAUUUAACAAACAACAGGUAACUCCAGGUAAUCCUAGAUUUGGAGGUACUUUAAUUAUUUGAGCUGUAAAAAAUAUUGCAAUCCAUGUUAAUCUAAAGUUCUAAAAACACGUGUUUGUGAUAAUUCAUCUUGAGUAAUGCUAUGCUUAUUUAAAACUUAAUUGAGAUAUGCACUAUUUUAAUAAUUAAUAAUAAAAUCAAUUAGUAUCAAAUACUUGCUUAUAAUUUAUUCACGGAAAAUUAAACAUUCCAGGUAAUUAACUUACGGAUAACUGAGACAAUUUCUUGGAUUACGGUUAUGGGUGAUUCUGUCGCUGAAACUUUAGGGGUAUCUAUAGGCUUACGAAAGUUUAUGGACUAAAGUGGAUUAUUUCAAAAGGUCCAAGGGUAAAAAUGGAUUUAAGGCACAAUAAUAAAAGGGAGUUCAUUGUAAAACCGUAAGGGUGCACUCACCGGAUCUUUAGUAUAAUAUAUUGAACAUUCUGGCCUGACCCGGUCAUCAGAACGGAAAAGUCUCUUUCGUCUGUCUCAUUAGGUAUGAAUUUAUAUAAUUUACGAAAUUUUGUCACGUAAUGGUUCUAGGUUUCAUCCAAAGCGAUUCUGAUUCGAUAAUUUUUCUUCAUCUUUGAUGCAUUUACUUGUCUGCCGCAUCUAAAACGAAUUAUUAUUGUAAUUAAUUUUUUUUUUCAUAUUAUUCAACUUUCUUAUUGAUUGAUAUGCAUGUAAUGUAACUGGCUGUUUAGAGUUUUCUUGUUUUCGCUGAAAUUGUUAAUAUAAAGGAAGCGAUGGGCCUGAAGCAAGCUUUGAAGAGCCUUGAUGCAUUUCCUCGAGCAGAGGAGCACUUGUUGCAGAAAACUCAAUCUGGGGCACUUGGUAAAUCAAUCUUUUAAUAAUUUUCUUGUGAGUUGUUGAAUUUGAUUCCAGUUAAUAGGCUGAUUUUUCUUUUUCCUUUUGAAAUCUUGUAGUCUCCAUUAUUGGUCUCGUCAUUAUGGCCUCAUUGUUCAUGCAUGAACUCAGAUAUUAUAUUACCACAUAUACAGUUCAUCAGGUAUGCACUUUCUUCUCAGCCGCGUGUGUCACAGAUACAUUUAUAUGAAAUUUCCUAAAAAGUAAAUAGGUAACUACAGGACAUUAGAAUCUAUUACAUUCUUAAUUCCUGAUAAAUUCUCUGGAAGCAGAUUUUCUCGGAUUAAUGAACUCCUUGAAAGCGUAUUAAGUUUAUAAAUCCUGUAAUGAUAGACUGUUAAUGAGAAUUUUGGAAUCUUGUUUUCUUACCGAGCAAUGGAAAGUUGGGAUCAAACUAAAAGCUAAAUUGUUAGGAUUUCGCUGGCAACCAAUCAAUCUUAAGGGAGAGAACUUAAUGACACUAAUCUGGCUGUUGGCUUCUCCAUUUGAAGCUACAUUUCUCUGCUUUGUUCUUCGUGGUACUUAAUGUAUUAGUUGCCUUUUUUUGUUUUUUUUUUUUUGGGGGGGGGNNNNNNNNNNNNNNNNNNNNNNNNNNNNNNNNNNNNNNNNNNNNNNNNNNNNNNNNNNNNNNNNNNNNNNNNNNNNNNNNNNNNNNNNNNNNNNNNNNNNNNNNNNNNNNNNNNNNNNNNNNNNNNNNNNNNNNNNNNNNNNNNNNNNNNNNNNNNNNNNNNNNNNNNNNNNNNNNNNNNNNNNNNNNNNNNNNNNNNNNNNNNNNNNNNNNNNNNNNNNNNNNNNNNNNNNNNNNNNNNNNNNNNNNNNNNNNNNNNNNNNNNNNNNNNNNNNNNNNNNNNNNNNNNNNNNNNNNNNNNNNNNNNNNNNNNNNNNNNNNNNNNNNNNUUUUUUUUUUUUUUUUUUUUGGGGGGGGGGGGGUGUUGUGUCCUUCAACCAGGUGAAAUACUUUUUUUGAGUUCUCAGUAUCCUAAUGUACUUCUACCUAUUGUGGGUACAUGAUGGUUUUUUGGGUUUCUUGCUUAAUAAUAUAUUUAUAUUUAUUAUAUGUGACAAGCUGAUGGUAUAUUGAAACAUAUCAUACAUCAGCCUGAAAUUCCUAGAAUUUUCAGGGAAGAAUGAAAAAUAUCAGUAGAGCUGCAACAAGUCUUAAUGAAAAUGGAAGAUGUGACUCCAUUAUUUUGGAACUUGGAUACACUGUACAGGCUGCAACCUGACACAACUAUAGUCUUUUAUAUUUUUAUUCCAAUCAAGUACUGAACAAGUGAUUUUCUCUCUUAAUGUUGCUUUUUUUUUACCAAAUUCCUUACAAAAAAAAAAAAAUUGCUUGGAGGGAUUAUUCUAAAUAGCUUGCCUUUAGUCCAAAGCCUUGACAUCGCAUCUAAAAGUUGAAAACCGACAGGCUUGGUUUUGGGGGAUGGGAGGGGUGGGUGAGGGAUCUGCUGUGUGUACUAGUGAUUGGUUUUACAAGACUUCUAAACAGUAGGCUGUCCUUGAGUGAAUUAGAGUGCAAAGAUUUAGAAGUUAGCAAUUUAUUGGUCCCAAAAAAAAAGAUUGAAAUAAACUCAUUAGUGAGGUAGCACAUGACCAGAAAAUAUUCUCGAGUCAAGUGGCGAUUAUCUCAUAUUAGCCCUCAUGUCUUAGGUUUUGUUUGUGAGAUAAUUCCGUAUCAAUAAUCUCAAUAAUAGAGGUUGAAAUAGGGGUGGGUAAUUGAGUCGUAAGCAAUUGUUUUGCAUGACUUACGAGCAUAUAAAUGAAAUGAAUUGACUGAUGAAAGUUUCUUUUAGUUCUUUGGAGAAAAGGGUUGACAAAUCAUGUUUUUGGCAGAUGUCUGUAGACUUGAAGCGUGGAGAAACUCUUCCAAUUCAUAUAAACAUGACAUUUCCUGCCUUACCUUGUGAUGGUUAGCAUCUAUGCUUUCUUCUUUACGAGUCCCUGGUUGCACAUUUUUCGUUUUACUUGUCUUUAAUUAUUUGCCAUAAUGAACUACAAAAUGACUUACUUCACCAUUUUUUUUUCCCAGUGUUAAGUGUUGAUGCUAUUGACAUGUCAGGCAAGCAUGAAGUAGAUCUUGAUACAAACAUAUGGAAAGUAAGACAACACCUAUCUUACAAAAAUUUUUAUCAGCUAAUCUUUGCUAGUUUUAAUUGGUCUUAUGUAUAUUAAAUAAUUUUCUGGCUGUCUCUCUUCAACAAACGUAGGAAUAAUACUAACUUUUGGAGAGAACUAGGCCUUUCUAUUCUUGUAAAAGGAUUUCAUUUAGCUCAUACCUCUUUGAGUGAGUAGAAUACCUCCCAUAUUCCUUCCAUAUAUAUUUUAGAUUAGUUGAUGGAUUUUCUGUUAUCCUUUUUAUUUUUUGGGGGGGGNNNNNNNNNNNNNNNNNNNNNNNNNNNNNNNNNNNNNNNNNNNNNNNNNNNNNNNNNNNNNNNNNNNNNNNNNNNNNNNNNNNNNNNNNNNNNNNNNNNNNNNNNNNNNNNNNNNNNNNNNNNNNNNNNNNNNNNNNNNNNNNNNNNNNNNNNGGGGGGGGGAGGGGCAGGGGGCAUGCCAAUGAGGUAAGAGAGUAGUUUGAAGAUAAGGAUAAAUUUCAUUGAGUACAAUAUUGCAGCAUAAUUGGUAUUUGAUAGGGCUACCCAGAUGGUGUGUUGAACGAUAAGAUUUUUAACUAAAAGGUCCAAAGUUCAGAUUCCUCUUAGUACCACCUAUUAUGUCGGUUUUCUUGAUAAUUGAAGGUUAUAUGAUCUAUCAGCAAUCGUUUGUUUCAGAUAUGGUGUCCAUACACAAGUGGGGCCUAAGGUUUUCAGGGGAUUGAGAAUAAGUAUUUGGGGAUGAUGUAGAGUCAUGACCAUUUGUAAUUUAUCUUCUUAUACUUUAGCUACAUUUCUGAGUGUUUAUUUUCAGAAAGAACUUUAAUUAUGUUCCUGUCUGAUGGAAUAGGUGAUUGCACUCUUUCUCUCUCACUCACUGCAAGGGAGCUUGGUAGAUUAUUAUUCAUUUUACUUUUUUGGUUGUCCUGCUAACCAGAUUGAGCUUUCUGCAGCUUCGCCUGAACAGUUAUGGCCAUAUCAUUGGCACUGAAUAUUUGACUGACCUUGUGGAAAAGGAACACGAAGAACACAAGCAUGGUAUAUUUCCUGAGGAAUCAUACAUUUAAUUGUUUGUCUGAAGGGAAUUAUUAUGCUUUUGAAAUUAUCUUUUGCUUUAAUAUGGACAAUCCAAUGUGUUCAAUUUUUUUUUUACCUUUUUCCAUUUUCUAUCACAUUGUACAAGUUUCUGUUGAUGCAUAAACUCUAAACUGCCCAAAUUUAGAAUAGGCUAAAUGUUUUUCUGCCAAAGUAGUGGGUGCUGUGCUGAGCUUUGACAAUAGUUACAGUUACAUCUACAUCUACUGGGCACAAAUGUUUACUUUGUUGGAGUUCUGUCUUUCCUACUGCUUUAUGAUUCCUCCGCUAACAAAGACAACGAUCAAGUUGCUAUUUUUUAUAUUGUUGUUUCAGGCUUUGUACGUUUUAGGGGUAGUUUGUAUGUUAAAAUGGUUAAUAUCUCGUUAGUACUUUGAUCAGAUCAUAAUAAAGAUCAUAAAGAUGAUAUCGAUGAGAAACUUCAUGCAUUUGGCUUUGAUGAAGAUGCUGAAAAUAUGAUUAAGAAGGUGAAACAUGCAUUGGAAAGUGGAGAAGGAUGUCGGGUAUUACCAAUUCUACUUUUUCAAUCAUUUUAAGAUUUAAAACUAGUCGUAGGCUUUUAAUUGUUCUUGAGGGAACAAAAUCCAAAUACACAAGUUUUAUACUUUAUGCAGGUUUAUGGAGUUUUGGAUGUCCAACGUGUUGCUGGAAACUUCCAUAUAUCAGUCCAUGGAUUGAACAUCUAUGUUGCACAAAUGGUAAGUAGCUUUCGUUCUGUGUUUUAUUCUUAUGUCAUUUAGUGUAGAGCAAAAUGCCAAGGAUUGACAUAGUUUAUGCUGAUUUUCCACCCUGUAUUAAUUUAUUAGGAUUACUUCCUAUUGGGAUUUGGAAUUAGCAAUAAAUUGUUUGGUUGGAGUUUCAGCAUUUCAUUGGUGAUUCAAAAUUUCGGAACGCUGGAAAUUUUUAACUAUUCCAGUUAUAUUAAUCAAGUUUAAGAACUCAGAUGUUGAAUUUGAGGAUCAAUAAUGUUGAGACCCAACCGAACUCAAAUAAGACUAGUUUGUAAGUAUUGAAGGUUAACAAUACGGAUGUUCUAUGUUGUUUUCCCCUUUUGGAGUAUUUUCCUCAAGUUUUGACUAUGGCGAUGUUGAUGUUAAUGUCCAAGUUUAACAGACUGUUCAAAAUUGGUGUAAAAUUAUAUAAAACAUGAGUCUAAAAGAUUUUUAUUCCAGUGAGGCUAACACCUCUAACUUGUCUUAGAAGUCAUUUCCUCUUACUGGUGGAAUCGUCCAAUCUCAAGCAAGGGUUUUAAAGAUUAGAAAGUGUUUUGAGUCAUUUAUCUUAUAGUUUAUUUGAUUUUGGAAAUACUAUAGCUUGGGAUCUGGGUCUUAUUUUGAGUUUUGCAUGAAUUGAUGGAUCUUCAUGUGGAGAGUUUAUUCACUUGUAGUUGUGUUUUCCAAAAUUUUUCCAGGCAGAAUUAAUGUCCAUGCAUAUUUCUGUAUCAUUAACAGAAUUUUCUGGAGUUGAUUUUAUAAGAAGCUGAGUUUGUUUUGAGUCUUUUUUCAUUGCUUUGUUCUUAUUUUUCCUCUCCUUCGUAAGCCCUUCAGUACUUGUCAGUUGUCAUCAUAUAAUAAACGCCAAAAUUCCUUUUGUCCUUUCUGAAACGUAAAAUAGAAGAAGCUCAAAUCCUAUGCUGAUCUCUGCUGAUCUGUCGUUGGGCAAAAUGUUACUACGUGACCUUUGUAAUUUUGAAUAUUUUCUGCUAAUUAGGUACAUUACCAAUUCUUCUAUAUUCUUAACCUUAGAAGUACAAGCACAAAAAUUGCAUGACAUGGUGAGCAAGGAAUUUGUUUGUUGCUUCACAGCCAUAGCAAAUCCUUGAAUCCAAAGGUUUCAUUGAUAUGGGUGACAUGUCUCAUAAAUGCUUUUUGAUACUCUUAAGUUCUUGGUUUAAAAUCUUUUGGCGAAAUCUAUGGUGAGACAUAUAGUUAUAAGAUAGACUUUUAGAAAGCAUAGUUUAGGGACUGUGACAUAGUCUUUUGCAUUUUCUAGAUAUCUUUGUACUUAGGUAAAAACAUGAGAAAAUUACUUUUCUCUCAGUGGGAAAAUUUCAGUAGCUUAGGCCCUUUGCCCUUUCCUAUUGAGGCUGGAAAUUUGGCAAAAAGAAUUUGAACCUCUGAAGCAAGUUUGAAGAAAUCCAGUGAAUUAUUUUAAAGCUGUUUCUACUGCCAGUUUCUUGGAUCUUAAAAUGACAGCGUGUGUUGCGAGUACUAGUUGGUUCAAUUAGUAAGAUGGCUUUGGGUGGUAGAAGAGGUUUGGGUUUUAACCCUGUUCGGAUCAAGGUCACAAAAGGGUUUGAUUUACAUCUAUCUUCACUAUUAGAAUUUAAAAUUAAAAAGUAGGAUGUGCUAAAUCAGUGGAAUUACUCUGGUAUUUUACAAUGUUUGGUUACACCUUAUAUAGUCUUUUCUAGUCCGCUGCAUCUUAAGUAUCUUCACUUCUUCUUCACUUCUUGCAGAUUUUCGGGGGAGCAAAAAACGUAAAUGUAAGUCAUGUCAUUCAUGAUCUAUCAUUUGGGCCAAAAUAUCCAGGAAUUCACAAUCCACUGGAUGGGACGGUGCGGAUGCUGCAUGAUACAAGUGGAACAUUCAAAUAUUACAUAAAGGUCUGGCCCUGGUUUUGCUGUUGAUUUAGUGACAGAGUAGUGAUCUUAGAUUUAAUUCUCAGUUGUGACAUAUCCUACACAAUUCUUGGGGGGCUGAUUUUCCUUGAUCAAGGCAUAUACAUCCAUUGACCUAAAACAAAAUGCAUAUAUUUUAUCUUUAGUGAGCUUUUCAUUGUGGCUUGUCCUGAAAUUCUCUUUUUAUUGGGUUGUAGAUUGUUCCUACUGAAUACAGAUACAUCUCCAAAGACGUUUUGCCUACAAAUCAAUUCUCUGUAACAGAAUAUUUUUCCACAAUUAACGAGUUUGAUAGGACAUGGCCAGGUUGGUUGCCAUCGUGAUCUAUGUUGGGUUUGUUUUGUCCCUUUCUUUCUUGUUCUUGUUAGUCAUAAUCUUCUUCUUUUUCCUCUUUUUCUUUUGUGCAGCUGUAUACUUUUUGUAUGAUCUAUCCCCAAUCACUGUGACAAUCAAAGAAGAACGUCGCAGUUUUCUCCAUUUAAUCACCCGACUUUGUGCAGUAUUGGGUGGUACAUUUGCUUUAACAGGUUUGUGUCUAAUAGUUAUUCAUUCAAGACAUUGCUCAUUUCAUGGAUUCAGGAUGUCAAACUUGAACCGCUAAUGACAAUUAAACAUUGCAAAAUUUAAAUAUUCAUGGCUGUUUUGAUCUUCUACAUACUUUGAUCUCUUGAUAAUUGACAAAAUUUAAUGUUCCUUCAAAUUUUACUUUCUAGAUUUUUGGAAUCUUUUCAACCUGCUAAACUUUCCCGUCAUCACAUGAUAGGCUUUGGCCAUUUUGUUUCUCUUAAUUUUGACCUAUCAUACACUUUAAUCAAUUAAAGAAUGAUAUCUUUGUUUUCACAGGAAUGCUAGAUCGUUGGAUGUACAGGCUACUUGAGGCACUGACAAAACCCAGCGCUAGAAGUGUACUCAGAUAGAGUUGGGACUUUAUCAUUAUAUAAUAUACUCACACAUGCCACCUCUGAAAUAUUGUCAAUUUAAGCAAGAUUGUAAUUCCAGUUUCAGUAUGCAGCCUUGACUAGAGUUAGGCCCUUUACGGCUUGCAAUAUUUUUAAAUUUUGUUUACUCCACCAGCGAUUGAUGUGUUGUAUUUAAUUGGUUACCUUUUUGUUAUAUUAAGUCUUUUUGGUAGUGUCACAGUUCUUAUUUGCCCAAAAAAUUUUGGUAGUGUCACAGUUCUUAUUUGCCCAAAAAAAAAAAGGGUCAUUAGUUGCAAAAGGAAAUUGUACAUGUGAGAUUUUAUGGGGACCCAAAAUUUAGUAGAAUCUAACCAUGAUGAACCGUUUGCAGUGGUUGGUGGUAAGGUCUUAAGCAAUUUUUCAUGAGCAACUCUUGUAUCUUGGACGUAGAAUAUGAGAAAUCAGCAAAUGAUUCAAUCUGUUUAGUUUGCUUUUUGUGUACAGUAGUUGCUUAAUAUAGACUACAGUGAAGCUAGCUAUCUACGGAGCAUGCUUCAAAGAUUGGAGCUAACUGUAAAAAUAAUUCAGCAACCGGUUUCAGAAGAACUUACAGAGCAUGCUUUUCAUUCAGUCAUUUUACUGCAAAAGUCUAUUAACAAUUUUAACUUCUCCUUGACUCCACCAGGCGGAGUUGAGCAAAUAAUCUCAUGAUGCAUUGAGUUUUUAUGUAGGCAUUAUGCGCCGAUCAUGGCGAAGCCAAAUGCUCUCAAUUAUUCAAGCCAAUGUCUUCUUUUCAAUUUCUUCAAGUUCUAGUGGUGCGAGAACACAAACAACAGUAGCAGGCUAGGAAGCUGUCGGUUGAGGGCUCGGAAUUUAGUGUUUGGCAUCUUUUUGGUGAGUUGUGGUUCUUCACUCAUCAAGUCACCCCCCGAUUUAGGGUCUGAUGGGGCGGACCCAUGGUCCGGAUCAGUGUGACUCGAAAAGAUUUUUUUUUGGGGGGGNNNNNNNNNNNNNNNNNNNNNNNNNNNNNNNNNNNNNNNNNNNNNNNNNNNNNNNNNNNNNNNNNNNNNNNNNNNNNNNNNNNNNNNNNNNNNNNNNNNNNNNNNNNNNNNNNNNNNNNNNNNNNNNNNNNNNNNNNNNNNNNNNNNNNNNNNNNNNNNNNNNNNNNNNNNNNNNNNNNNNNNNNNNNNNNNNNNNNNNNNNNNNNNNNNNNNNNNNNNNNNNNNNNNNNNNNNNNNNNNNNNNNNNNNNNNNNNNNUGGGAGGAGAAGAGAGAACAUGAGCAACAAGAAAAGUAAGGCAUGCCAUGAGAAGAUGUCAUUUUUUCCUACAAACGUGUGAAGUUGCCACCAUCAAAGUAGUCCAAGUUUACAAAAUCAUUGAAGAUGUCUCACUUCAAUAAACAAUUUUUUAUACGACUUUAAUAAAUCAUUUGAGAUUUCUAUCUAACACUUUAAUAAAUAACUUCCAAUGCAUUGCACUAUAAUAUAGGACACGAAACCGUAGAGAGAGAUUGACGGUUCCAUUGAGAAAUGUACAGGUGCAGCUUUACUUUACUCAUUGUGACCAGAUAAUAUGAAACUAAAAGGGGAAGCUGGAAAUGUCGUGAUUGAUAAUUUCAUAUCCUCGGAAGCAGCCAGCUGAAGCUGAUCAUCAAACAUCAAAAACAAAAAUGGCAUGCAGUAGUAGAACUAGUAAUGCAAAUGCUUAUCAUUUUACAAAGGGUUCACUGGUGGAAGUGAGCAGUGAUGCAGUUGGGUACCGUGGUGUAUGGCACCAGGCCAAAGUACUCAAAAGAACAGGCAAAAACGCCUUUUUGAUAAGAGUACCAGACGUUGCUUUCUGAAGAUGGCACGGAGCCGUUGGUGGAGACGGUUAAUUCCGUUUUAUUUAAGGCCCUUGCCUCCUCUGGAGCCUGAUGAUGAUGAUGGUAAGGAAUUUGAAGCGAACGACGUCGUUGACGCAUUUUGGCUGGAUGGAUGGUGGGUUGGUGUUGUUGUCAAAGUAUUAAAUGCAAAGACUUACUCUGUGUUCUUUGAUGAUCCUCCUGAUUUGCUUGUGUUGAAGCGCUCUGCUUUGAGGCCUCAUUGGGAUUGGGUUGGUGGCCGUUGGGUUCGAUCCCAAAAUAAGGUUAUGUCCUUUCAUUUGCGUUGCACGUCGUUUUAAUUGAAAAUUUUUAUUGUAAAAUUAAUGUUUGUGUCGAUUAAUUUUUAACUUCUGCAUGUUUGGUCAAAGUUUCGUGUUUUAUUGCAUGAUGGGUUGUCUAGGACCAGAAGCAUGACAUUUUGUCUUGAGUGUGCCCUGAUUCUGGAGGAGCAGCACCUGCUAAUUACAUAUACAUUUGGUGCAUGCAUAGGCACCCAUUGACAAUCUCCCUUAUUGCAUCUGUUUCAGGAAGUCUUGCAAAAACAGUUAAUUUAUUCCCUCGGCUAUGUUAACAAUGCUAAAGAACCUAUGGCAUUUGAUAAUAUUUGUGGUGUGAAAGAAAAUGCUUUAGUGAUGGCAAAUAGCUCAACAGAAAGUCAGAUGGAGAUGAAGUUGUCAACUCAGGGCACUGAAAACUCAGAUUUGUUUGCAUUGACCUCAAGUGGAAGGACAUUGAGCAGGGCAGCCUAGCAGUUGAUGCUACAUUUUCUCGCCCUGUUAAGAAGUAAAAAGGACCAAGUGCAGACACAGAUUUGUUUCUCAAGGCAUGUCAGCUAGGAUCAACGCUGCCCUUUGAAUUACCACUUGCAGGUUCUGCCACCUCAUCUCUUGCUAGACACUCAAAACAACUGGUAGCCUUCAGUUAGUUUAUGGUAAAACCGAUAGUGGACAUCACUUUCAUUUUAUGAUGUUAAUAAUUUUUGCGAAUUUUGAAGUAAUAAGAGUUUUGAAACCACCGAAUCAUAUCUCUAUCUAGUUUUUGUUGGCUGCUAAGUUGCUGCUAAAUAUAGAUUUGAUUAGAGACAUGGAGUGUGGGAUAUUUCUGUAUUUGUUUAUUCCCCAUGAAGUUCUGUUUGUCCUUCGUUCUUUCUUUGAAAUCAGGUAAUACAACAGAAAGAAGUGGGAUCUGUCAGUCAGAAGGAGAGAAAGAGAGGAAUGCCACAGAAUUCCUCAGUUAAAGGUAUGAAGCUCUAGACUUUAUUAGAUAAUUUUUGGCUUAAGAUUGCUGACUUUUUAUCCAAUAAUACAUGAUCAUAAUUAUACAUAAGGAGUGGAAUGAAGAUGGAGGUAAUGUUCAUGAAAUGGUUAUAAUGGAUUAUGCAACUAUUGACGUUGAAUUGCUUAAAAUCACAGGAGAGUCUACAGGUAUGAUGUUUGAGGGCCUCUCAACCAAAAAAGCUUAGUAUCUUUUCUCUUUAGGGAUGGAACUGAUUCUAUAUCAAAACAGCUACUUCAAAUUUUAGACAUUUUUGGCCUUUUGCAGGAAAAAGUUCUUCCUUUGUGAUUAGUUGAUUGUUUGGGCUAUAAAACACCAGAAUAGACAAUUCUAUCUCAUACCAGCGAGCUUAGUCAAUUUCAGCAUGUGCCAAAAUUUAAAAUUGUCAUUUUUUGUUACAAUUAACAACAAUUGUAGUGCAAAUUGCUUGGUAUAAGAUAAAAGCAAUGCCACCUCCUUUCUCACUAAAAUAAAUAACGGUGAGAAGCUGGUCAUUUCUGAUUGAUUAACAAGAGAGGAAGUAGAUAUAAGAUCUAAUGUUGGUUUUUCACUUCCAGGAUUUGUCAAUAACGGUGAUGCUGUCAACCAGUGGAAUGAGAUUAAUGGACGACUUGAAAUUUCAACAGAAUGUGCUGUAAAUGCAUCAACGAGUAAUGAAAGUACUCCGGAAGAGAAUUGGAGCUUGCCUUUUGUUAAGCAUUCAUCGAUACUGAGAGCAAUUGAACCAAUGGGAGUAUUUCAAAAAAUGCCUCAGAAGCCUCACUUUAAUCUUUUAGACGGAAGUAAAGAUAUGUAUCUUGAAGGAUUAGUAACUGGCUACAUGUUAACUUUUGCCAACGUCGUAGAACAGACAUCCAAGUUACAAGUCAGUGAUCCAACGAGCAUCUUUAAUGGCAUGUUUGAAGCACUUCUCAACUUGGAAUCGCAUGGGUUUGAUGUUAAGACUGUACAUAGUUGUCUUUCUGAGAUGCAAUCAAUUAAAGAAAAGCAUGAACAGCUUCAAGAACAGUUGCUGGAAUACGAAUGUCAUAUACUUGAGCAGACUAGUGAGCAAAGCAAGAUUACAGUAGAGUUAGACCAUGUUGUUAAAGAGAUAAAGAUGUUAGAAGAAAGCAAAGCAAAGCUUACGUCUGCAAAGGAGCAAAAAUGAAUCUGAGAUUGCUGCAUCCAAGUCUAAAGUUGAUGUCGGUAACGAAAACAUUCAGAAUGCUCAGCUUGAUUUUGAAAGUGUAGCUGUUUGCCUUGGUGACUGAGGAGUACUAUUUUUGUACUCUUAAGGGGUUCUGCCGAGCUUGAUGACUCACGAUGGGAGAAGAUUUAUCAGAGGAGGUGAUACAAUGUUGAAGAACAAAAAGCGUAAAUUGGAUUCGUGCGAGUCCCUUUUAUGCAACCAUUAUCAGUAUCUUUUGUUUAUGCCUUCCUGUGUUAUACGAAGAAGAUUUUUUUUUUUUUUUGGUUUUGUUUAUCCUUCUGUUUGAUAAAGUGAUGAGUUGAUAACAACAUAUUUAUUUACAUUUUCAUUGGUAUUGAAUCCCGGAUGGGCAUCUCGGUAUAAGUAUUAGCAUUGGACAAAACUAUGAUGUAAUUGUGUUACUAUACCGCAGCUACACUCAAUCAUUGAAUUCAGUCCACAGUUGUCACCAUAAUUGGAUUUAAUAGUUAGGUGUAACUGUGGUAUAAUACCACAAUUACACCAUAACUGGAUUCAUUAGCAUUAAUGUUAUUAUCAAUUUUCUACUUACGUUUUCGUGGACAAUUUAGUGACUUUAGUUAGUUAUAUAUAUAUGAGAGAGAGAGAGCGAGUACGUCCUUAUUUUAUUUUUAUACGGAUACAUUUUUAAACUGUGGUGUUUAAGAAAAUUAGUUUUUAGUUCUCUUAAAUCUUAUAAUUUUAUAAUUUAUUAAAAAAUUAACUCUUUUAAACGACUGAGUUUAAAAAUAUAUUCGCACAAAAAAAAUUACAGACUUCCACACAUGAUAAUGAUAUUAUAUAUGUAAAAUACUUUAGAAGAUAGUGACUGUCUCCUCUUAUUCGAACUUGUAAUAAAAUUGUUUAAAAACAUUCGGACAAGCCGUGAGAACAAGCAUGAAUUAGUUAAAUAAACCUUUUUGUUAAAGUCCAAUCCUGACCAUCUGUUUCAUGGAAAAUAAGGGUGAAAAAAAAAGGUUUAAUCUUAACGGUAAAGACUAUUAAAAGAGAGAGAGACAGCUUAAAAGCGACAAAAGCAUCACACACACUCUCCCUGUAUGACUUGACUGACCGCAGUUCAAAGUGGAGUCCAGCCCGUGAUAUAAGCAAAGAAAGCGGAAGGAAAAGAUGGACACGUAAAGUAAAGAAGCAAGUUGGCGGUUGUUUACAAUUAAAAAUUAAAAUUCGUUAAUAGCUUUGAGUUCCCGUGGGGAGGACACACUCACAGCAUAAAACUCACACUUUGUUGUAUCAAAAUGGAAUCCAUCAUUACUGUUUCUUCACACUACUAACAACUCUAGUUAGUUUUACUCAACUGCAGAGGAGAUAGAUAUAUAAAGAGAAUUGCUUUUACAAUUUCAAAAAACUAGGGUUUUGAAUCUGAUUCAUGGAGAGUACUUCAGGGACUGAUGAACAUCGUGAAAUUAAUGAAGCAUCAACCUCGGGUUCUGAUUCCUCCCAUCAAUCUCAAGUAAGAUAUUUUUUGUUAAAAAAAAAAAAAUUGUAUUACUUCACAGAUCAUUGUUACUUACUUAGUGUCUUCAAUUUGAAAUGAUCCGAGUAUGGCUUAUCAGAAAUGUAAGUAAACUAGCUAUAACACUAUUUAGACUUACCAGAUAUAUUGUUGAUGGGUUUCAUGGAGCUAAAAGAAUUGCCAGUAUGUGCUUGGCAAAACUGAAAUAGCAAAUCCUGUCAUCUAUUGCUUGGUUUUCAGCUUCAAAGAGUAGGUGUAAAUAAUUAAUGAAAGGUUUUUGAUGGUUACUUUUUAGGUUGAAGAAUCCAGCUCGAGUUUAGUUCAGCAGUCCAGACGACCGAAUCUUUCCUCUUUGCAAAUUCCCGUUCGGUCUUUGGACGCCUGUUUGUCAGAUUUUACGACAAUAGAAGUUCCUUCAGUUCCGAGUCCUAACUCCUCAUCUUCUAGAGCUGGCCUUCCUCCCAAACCUAAUUCAGCCAAGUUCAAAUCAUCUGUGAGAAGUUUGCUUCCUCAGCGGAGCUUUAAGGCAAAAAACAUAGCCCAUGAUGGUGAGAAGACAGUUCUCAUCCUCCCGGAUACACCAUCAUCUGAUGGUCCUCUGGACAAGCCAUCUACUUCAAGGUCAUUUUCUCUUAAUAAAAUUUUGUUCCCUUCAUCAACAAAAGUAGCACAUUCUUUACCGGCUACUCCCAUUGCAACUACGGCUCUUGAUUCUGUACAGGAAAGGCAACUAAAUAUUCAACCUAACAAUUCCGUAAGUCCUUUUUUUCUUUUGGUCUUAACUUAUCCUGAUGCUACAACACUAUACUACAUGGUGAAUAUAAGAUUUUAAUUUUUUUUUCCUGGUAAGUUAUGAAGUACUUAAGUACUCUCUUGUUUUCUUAUAGAAGUUACGUACUCAGCAGAAAAUGACACGUUCAUUUUCGGUUCCUGUAAAUAUUAAAGUCAGAAGUUUAAGGCGGACGGAAUCUGGAGGAGGUUUAAUCCGUGUGAUUUCUGUGUCUACUCGUUCAGCAGCAGUUGAGAGGAUUUCAGUUAAUGAUGAUCCAGCAACUGAUAUUGGUAAAUCCUAAUUUCAUUAGCAAAACAUGAUGCAUAUGUCUUUUUUACCAUUGAUAUUUUUAAUUGCUGUCUUAUCUUGUUAAUCAUACUUUUGAUUUACUAAGUUAACAUACUUUUUCCAGCUACCGAAGAAGCAGGUGAAGAUAUUCCAGAAGAAGAAGCAGUUUGCAGAAUUUGUUUGGUUGAGCUUGGGGAAGGAGGUGACAUGUUUAAGCUGGAGUGUAGCUGUAAAGGAGAGCUUGCACUUGCUCACAAAGAGUGUGCGGUGAAGUGGUUUACCAUCAAAGGCAACAAAACAUGUGAUGUCUGCAAGCAAGAUGUUCAGAACCUACCAGUCACCUUAUUAAAAAUACAUAAUCCUCAAACUGUUAUUAGGCGGCCACAAACUAUAGUGCAACAGAGGGAAGUUGCUCGUUACAGGCAUGUCUUAUGGUUUUUGAAGUUCACUUACUGGUCCAUUAAUUGGUCACUCUAACUAUGCUGAAUGAUGUUUGCUAUAAAAGGCUGUUUUCAUUUUAUUUUACAUUCCCAUGCAAUAUAUAAGUAUACAAUUGUGCCCCAAAUACUGUAGGUCACUCUUUACAUUGCAAUUUGAGACUGUAUAUAAAUUAAAUUCACAAUUAGUCUGACUUGGGAAACCGCAAGAAUUAUGACACUGCUAGAAACACAUAAGUCCCGGAGGAGGGCAGAGUUUGACUUUGGGAUGCCAAAUUGGGAAUUCCCUGUAAAUUUAUGAGAACAGAUAUUUGUCCCUUGGCAGUGGCUUCCACUUCGAGCAGGUUUCUGCUCUGCUGUUCAGAUCAGAUGGUUUAAGAAUCUUGACUUUGUACCCAGUAGCAUGUGUGCAUUAUUAAACUAGGGGUGGUGCUUUCCGCUCAAUCUUGGAUGAGGAGAACACAUUGUCAUUAUUUUUUCCACUUCAACGAGGCUUUAGAUUAUUCUCUUGGCUAAAAUGUUUACCAGUGUUUUGUUGAUAUCUGAGAAGUUCCCUUUUCAGGGGUUGGAGGGUUUUGGGGGUGGGGGAUGAUGAGAGGGUUGGGGGUGUUUGGAUUACUGAAUUAUUUGAUUAAUCUCUCAAAUAACUGUCACUUGGCUUCCCUGUCAUAUGUGAAUUCUAGGCAUGUCAUCUACAUGAUUGUUACUUCUUGUUACCAACUGAAGCUCUUGUAAUAAUCUCUUGGAUGGUCUUGGCAGGAAUUUUUCUUGCAUUUCAGGUCUGUCUUUUUACUUGUUAUAUUCGUGCAGGGUUUGGCAGGAUAUGCCAGUUCUGAUCAUGGUCAGCAUGCUUGCAUAUUUCUGCUUUUUGGAGCAACUUCUGGUAUUUAUCAUUUAACUAUUUCUGCUAGACUAUGAAAUCACUUUGCUAGAUUUUCAUGGCAUCAUGUUGUGGAUCCACCAAAUUUUUCAUUGGUUGCUGAAGUUUAUGCCUUUAAGUUCAUACCGUUGUCACUGAAGUUAACAUCCAUCAUGUCCUUCAGAUAGUUAAUCUAUCUAUCAGUUUUAUAGUUGUCCCAACAAUUGACCAGGAGCUCAUGCAUUUAGCCAGUACACUUAUCUUCUAUAGGUAGUAGGGCAAAGAGGUCAUACUGUUUAGUGUUUAUCAUUCAGUAACUGUAUUUGGAUUAUGCUUCCAAGUGAUCAAAGACAUCUUUGAUUAUGUAAUUUUGAUCCCCUAUGGAUGUCUUUGGUCCAUACUAUGAAAUCUUCUAUAUCAAUUACCUCUUCUGUUCAAUAGUUGAUUUUUUGACUGAAGAGAAUUUGUUGGUUCUUCUGGAAGCUCAACACAUUAUACGAUGCUCACUAUUGUUGAAAGGUUUCAAUGUCCAUGAUGCAUUUUUUAUCAUAUAAUUUUGCAUGUAUUUCAUUAGCAUUGUACUUGCUUUAUAACUACCAUUCGAAUAUAAAAUUUGAACAGGUAUCCGACUUGGGUGCUCGUGCUCUUGCCAUUUCGUUGCCUUUCUCUUGUGUUUUGGGUCUCCUUUCUUCAAUGAUCGCUUCUACCAUGGGUAACGUUUUCUUCUGUUCACUUCUUAUCAUUGCUUAUCAAGUCCUUUGCUUCGUAACUCUCAUUUGAUAAUUAUGAGUGAAAUAAAGUCAUAGUCAAACAUGCUAAAACAUUUUAACUAGGAAGAAAAACUUGUGCUACAUUUGGCAUGCAGGAUUAGACUAAAUCAAUUAUUAAGUUUGGGCUGGAUUAAAUUUGAUUGGAUUAGACUGGAUUAUAUAAUACUGUCUUAUGUUUGAUACAGUAUUGAAUUGGAUUAUGUUAGAUUAUAUUUGAAUGGAAUGAAAUUAAAUAGCAUUUAAGUUGACAUUUAAAUAUUAAUAUAAACUAUUCAUGAAUAUUUAAUAAUAAAAUAAUUAUUAACAUUAAUUUAAAAGACAAUUAGUAAAAGAUUAAAUAUAUAGAAAAUUAGUUAUUAGGUAAUCAUAAUUAUAAUAAACAAAUAUAAGUUAGAUUAGACUUGGUUAAAUUAAAUUAAAAACUAUUUAAAUACUUAAUUUAAUUUAUUUUUUUAUCACAUAUUUUAAAUAUGUUUUUAUUUAAUCAAAAAGUUGGCAAAUAAUAUAUAUAAAAGCAACCAAUUUUCGGUAUUGUUAAUUUUCAUGAUUAAUUUUAAUAUAGUGAUUUUUAAAUUAAAUAUCACAUCACACAUACAAAUAAUGGUUAAUUAAAUAGACAAUUUUUUUUUUGGUAUUGCUAAUCCCAUGAUUUAAGGGCUAAAUUUAAAUCUAGUCUCCUAAUCUAAUCCAAAGUGAAGCUUGCCAAAGAGAAGAUAAAUAAUUAAUCUCAAAAUUAACCCAAUCCUACACUUAAUCCUAGCUUCCAAACAUAGCCUUAGUGCAUUGCGGUUCUUCCUUGUCAUUUUUCAGCUACACUUUAAUUAUUUGGAGAGAUGUUAGGUUGUCUUUGGGAUAAAAUACCGGUGGUUCAUUUUGUUGAUUUCCCUUAAUGAUGUAUUUUGGUAGUUCGUUGUGGGCAGGGUUGUACCCUUUCUCAAUCUAAAAAAUCUUACUUCUUAAGCCCUAAUGGUGUCAAAAGAAAUCAUUUCAGCAUAUUGGGAGAAACAAGAGGCAUACCCAGGAGAAACCAGAAGAAAGGGAAUAAAAUAAAAAUAAAUUGAGGGGAAAAUAAAUUCAUUAUUCCAAUGAUCAUUUUGUUUGAAAAUGAAAGACAAUGGCCUAUUUACAGUGGUCAAACCCCAAGCACAACAGGAACUCAAAAUCUUAGGAAGUCUACUUUCUAAUAUGAAAGAUGAAACCUACUCAACUAAGAAAACUUCUUAAAGAAAUUAAAUCUUACAUAAACACGAAUUAAAUUAACAAUAAUUAUAUAACCUAAAAAUCUAAAUAAUCUUCCUCUUCCUCUUCUCAAAUAGAAUGAUGCCACCUGAGUAAGAAUCAAGAGCAAAACUGUUUGUGGUCUUGGCAGAAAGUGGAUAUGUUGUGUAGGACUCAACUGUUAUAAUUACCGUGAAGCCUAGCACAAUAAACUUAUGUAGCAUUUAGGAUGCUAGCCUGGGCACCAAAUUAGUGUAUUCCCUUCGAGACGGACUGGAAAUUUUUAUAACUCCUUUCCUUCCCCUAUUUGAUUGGGUUAAUUUCUAAUUUUCACUUGCUGUUUGAUUUAUCAUCUUUUGUUUCAUAACUUAAAGAGUUCCUUAAGAGCUUAUCACAUAUGAUGGUGGCAGUGAGCAGGAGUUACAUAUGGGCUUAUGCAUCCUUCCAGUUUGCAGUUGUGAUCUUGUUUGCUCAUAUCUUUUACUCUGUGGUAAGCAAGCUGAACAAACUUUAUUCCAUGAGUUUGUGCAUUAUACCUUUGGUGGUUGUGUUCAUCUUCUCAAUCAACUUGCAGCUUAAUGUGAAUCCGAUUCUAGCUGUCCUCCUUUCCUCGUUCACUGGAUUUGGCAUUGCAAUUAGUACAAAUUCUCUUAUUGUGGAGUACCUUAGAUGGAGAAUGAGCAGGCAAAUGCAGUCUCUACAUCAGCAGAUCAAUGGAACUGUGCAGCAUCGGUGGCGGCAGCAGGAGGAACAGCAAAACCAUCAGAUUCAUCAACAGCAACAACAACAAUUGACAGAAGAUCGCAGUGCUGGACCUGCCAAUAAUUCCAGGCAGCAAUAAAUAUAGUCAGAACAUAUAGAUCAAGCUACGGUAAGGUUUCAGAUUCUUUUAUGGUAGACACUUCAGCUAAGGCCCUAAAAACCUUGGCUGGAACACGUUUCAUUUUCUUGAUUACUGGUUGCUGACUCACAUAGGCCAUUACCUUAUGACUUAAAAUAUGAAGUCUGGAAGGGUUAAAAGUUAAAACUACCUGAGUCUGGAAGGAAACUUAUUUUUCAAUAGAUUUGCUUGCCUAAAAUGAUCACUGGUUCAGAUUCCAGACAAAGAUGAUUCAAAUUAGGAGCUUGGGACAAAAAAGUUUCCUUUCAGGUCAAACAGCAAUUCUAUGGUAGGCUUGGUAGAAAUCAUAUAUAAUGAUACAUAGGAACUUCAUAAGAAAAUAAAUAGCAUAUCAUCUGGUUAAUUACACAGAAGGAUGAAAUAAAUUAUGGAUAUUGGAUUUUAUUAAAUGUUUGUUUAUGCGAUUCAUAAGUUUUUUGUUUCUGGUACAGGUCAACAUGUUGCUCCCCGAUUAUGCAUAUUGAGUCAGAAUGUUUGUAAGAUCCUCAAAAGGCGACCACCAAAUGACGACAGAGAAUUGGGGAGAGAAGGAUACUUAAUUUCCUCAGUUACUGCUGGUUAUUUAUGCGGGAAGGAUCAUCAAUGAAGGGCCAUGCAACUAGGAAAUUUUGCUCAAGAAAUGUCAAGAUUUUUACAUUGAAAGCAACAAACAAGAGAAAGAGAAGGUAUCUGUGAAUUCAAAUUGUCUACCGUUUUAUAGAAGUUGCAAUUUCCACAGUUUUUUAAUGUUCUGAACAUCUUAGAUAAAUUCAAUUUUCCUUUGCCUUUAUGUGAGCAAACUUCUUCUAAACAAGAAACACACGUACACAAACAAGUAAUUAAUAGAGAAAAUACUGGGCUUACUUACAUAUGAUUGCAAAAACUUUUCUUUCGGGACCUUGUUAACUUUCAUCAACACAAAGUUACCUCCGCCAACUCAAGUAUAGUUUGAUUGAUAUAAUUUUAGAGUUAUCGAGAAGUAUCGUUGGGUUGAACUUUUUUUUUCUUGGAAGGAUAAGUAAUUGGGUUGACUUAGUUACGUUAUAAUAUUGUAAUUUUGGCGAUCCCUAAGUUACGUUUAUUGUAACAUACACUCAAUGAAAUGACAAACCGUUAGAUAUCUUGAAUUUGAAUCUAACGGAUAUUAUUAAAUUUAUGCAAAAUAGUAACAAAUGCCAAACCGGCUGAAUUGGUUAAUUGAAGAGAUGGGCUAUCGGAUGAAACAAUUUGAAGAUGGUUUGCAAAGCUUUGAAUCGAGAUUGGCAUAUACCCAUUGAUGAUUGAUUGCAUUGCUGCUGUGGAAUUACAGAAGGGCCAGGAAAGCCGAAGAAGACAGGGCCAGGAAAACCAAAGAAGACGAGAAGAGUGGGAGGGGGAUGCAAUUACAAGGGUAUAAAGUGGAAGGAUUGACAAUGGCAGGGCACGAGACUUGCAUUAUUUUCCCCUCUCGAUUUAGCAUUCGAUAUUGGACUGCCAUUCUCGAGCUCCCUCUAAAAAUUUCCUCUCAAUCUCCCACGCCCACAUCACAUUUUUAGUUCUCCUUCUCGUGUCUGUUUCUACGACUCAUUGCCCUCCCUACACUAGUCAAUUUUCUUUUCCCUUCUCUCGGUAGACAAUAACUACAACCACAACUUGCUAAAAUUUCAUUAAUAUUAAAAUGAAAUCAUUUCAGCCAUAUGGAGAGAAGGGGAAAAAAAAGGAGAAGGCCAUAGAUUAUAAGAACGAUGUUUCUUCAAAAAAUGGUGCCUGUACUUUUUGCAUUCACCACCUCAUUGUUCUAAUUUACCAAUACCUAUUGCUUGACUAUUUAUGUAUCAAAAAGAUAAAAAGCAUAUAAUUAUUAAGUUUCAGAAUCAUGAAGAAAGUCAAUUCCCAACGAGUCGUUCAUGCGGGCUGGUGAAAUUACCGACGCAAGAGUGAGUAACGUCUGUUGUCUUGUGUGCUAUAAUGACUUAGUUUCGUAUACUCACCGUUGUUUCUUUUUCGCUUGAUGGUCCAAGGAGUCGUUCAUUUUUAUUAGAAUUCGGUGGUGGAGGUCUGAAUCUUGAGGAUGAUUAUCUUGGAAGAGAUGGGUAAUUUGAUGGUGAAAAUGACGUCAUCGCGCUAGUCAAGACCGGCUGUAGAAGGGAGCCUCUCGCGUUGAUUGUUUUUGGCUUUUUGGUGACCGAUUUCAACCACUUAAACCAGUUUAAUUUUAUCACUAUUAUAUGCACUUGGCAAAUAUUUAUUGGUCAACUGGUCAUUUCAUUGAGUGUAUGUUACAAUAAACGGAAUUUAGAGGGAUCCAAGUAAUUUUACACCUUUGGUUGGAUGAUACACAGAGAUCUCCUGUGUUGCAGGCAGGAGAUUUACUCGUAUUUUCCUGCCAGUUUCUGUCAAUAUUGUCGGCAUGAUUGAGAAAAGACAUCAGAAAAAAUCUAUGGGUACCUCACAUCAUUGGCCCUCAAUUGUAGGGAUGGUAAAAUUCGGGUCCGGGUCCGGGUCCGUAUCCGGGUUUAGCCUUUCCGGUUCCGAAUCCGGACACUAUUUUUUUGUUCUCGGACCCGGAUUAAAACUUGACUUUUUUUCAUGUGGGUCCGGGUCGGGUUCAACCCGAAAAAAUUUGGGUUCCCGGAUUCCGGGUUUUGAACCCAGAUCAAUAACUCAAAACUAACUCCAGAAAACUCCAGAAAGCAAUUCAAAUGAUGAAUAUUAUGGCAUGGGUACAGAAUCAUCCAUUUUUCUCUCUUCGGUGGGUUAGCUACUAAGCUUCAAAUUUGAGGAAAAAGGAAAAAAAAAAGUCAGUUAAGUGGUCAAUCCACAACCACCAUCUCCAAUCCCAUGGCAUUUCUCAAGGCUUUAUCAGAUCAUUUCAUUUGACAGCAUCAUUGAAAAGAAAAAAAAAACAUGAUGAUAUGAGUCUUGAAAUUAAUUAAGUAUUAAAUAUGCAACUAAAGCGAGAUAUUAUUGAAAUAAUCAAGUAUUAUAUAUGGUAAGUAAAGUGAGCAAAGUAUGAUGACUGUAAAUAAUUUAAUUAUAAAACCGCAAAUACGCAAGUGUGUGGUGAAUCAAACGAAUAGAGGAGCUGAUGAUGAUGAAUAGAGGAACUGCAGUGCUGCAAGCAUGUGACAGUGGUGAACCAAACAAGUUGCGGUUGCGACGGUGGUGAACUAAACAAGUUGCAGUUGCGACGGUGGGGAACCCAAGCUUUUGACAGUGGCAAACGCCGCGAACCGAACCUUGUGAUGACGGUGAACCUGACCUUGCAACAGUGACGAACCCAGGUGAUGGUUGUUUGACUUGCCUGCUGGACAGCGGGAGGCGGUAGCCGCGGCACAACUAGGGUUUUUCACUUUUUCUUAUGUAAUCGCAAUUUGUGAUAGACACUAGAAAGAAUGAAAGAAAAAAAUGAAUUGUAAUUUUUUAAGGUUUUUUUUUUAUGUUUCUAUUUAUAUUAACUAAUAAAAAUAAUAUAAAAAAAUAAAUCCAGAUCCGGAUUCACGGGUUACCCCCAACCCGGACCCAAAUUUAUUUGGAUUAUUAAAAUUUAUUCCGGAUCCGAAUUUUUUUACACUUCGGUACAAAUUCAACCCAGUCCGGAUUAUCCUAGUUAAUCCAAGUCCAGGUUAUUCU
RNAcentral lists this long non-coding RNA (52649 nucleotides) under Citrus sinensis (sweet orange). RNAcentral describes it as "long non-coding RNA (CSIN_LNC002617)". The record is from RNAcentral. Lineage: Eukaryota; Viridiplantae; Streptophyta; Magnoliopsida; Sapindales; Rutaceae.